This 49122-nucleotide long non-coding RNA is filed under the name Triticum aestivum (bread wheat). RNAcentral's name for it is "long non-coding RNA (TAES_LNC002490)". The record is from RNAcentral. Lineage: Eukaryota; Viridiplantae; Streptophyta; Magnoliopsida; Poales; Poaceae.
UGCUAACCUCAAUGCCCUCACCGGUGCUAGGGUUGCUAUCAUCCUAGAGGCGAGCAAUGGUUUUAUGCUCUUUCAGACAAACCAUCCUACAAUGGAUUUCUUGGGAUGGAUGCUUAAUUGGGUUAUGAUGGUACUAAGUAGACAUUCUUCUAUAGGAAAUGGUGAAUGUGUUUAUGCGCAAUAGGAAUCUUCUUCCAGUGAGCAAGAUGUUGAUGCUUCGGUGCAAUCUGAAGGACUUAGUUAGAAGCUAGUUAGACUUACAUUUUAGUUCUAUAUCGGAAUGAAAGCUAGUUACAUUACCACCUGGAAAAUGUUACCAUUUGGAGAUUUUACUAAGCCCCUUCCAGGCAAUAAUAUACAUGUUCAGUGUUAUAGGUCUUGGAACAUGGAAGUUUUUUUUGUAUGUGCCACUUCAUAUUUUCAUUAUAAUCAAAUAUUUUAUUUUCUUUUUGAGAUGUUAUGUAUCUUAUGGGUGAAGGAAGAGGAAACCUUGAUUUAUAAUACCACCCCUCUUAGCAUAUUAUGAUCCAACCAUUAGUAAUUAACAGAAAAUGGGAGCUAUGCGGAGUAACUAACUAAAAGGUAGCACAAGUUCAGAUUUCCACUCAAGCGACAAGCAUCAAUUGCUUUAAUUGCAUAAGAGUAUGAAAAAUAUGAACAACUCAAUAUGAGAUUCAUUUGAAAUCACGGUAAAUCAAUGUUUUAUUAAUAGAUGCCAAUGAUUUAUUGUCAUUAAAUUAAAACCAUAGUAUACCUGCGAGGACAUGGCGGCCACCUAAUUCUCCAUUUCAGUUCCAGUAGCAAGAAACAACAAAUUUAUGAAAUGAAUCUACUUUUGUUACCUUCGUUAGUUUUUAUCCUUGAAUAAAAAGUGAUUUUUUUUGUAAUGAUAUUGCUCAUCUAAUUAAUAAAUUAGACCCUCGGCAGGUUGCAUUAUGCAAUUGUUCUAAUCUUCUCACCGUUGACAGAGCAUGGUGCCCCAAUGUUUGGUUUUUGUAAUUGAUGACAAUGUCAGGACCGGAUUUUCGGGAUAUUAGUUUCCAGAAAAUGGCCCUUGUGCUCACCAGCCCCAGGAUUACUUUUAGCUGAUGAGGCACCAACUUGAUACAGAAAUUCCAAGCAAAAUACAUAAUAUGUAGUACAAGACCAUUCUGGCCUAUGAGUACAACAAAUGGUUUCCAGUGGUUGAUGGCGGAAGCGGUUUGUGGAUCAUCAGCGUCUAUGGGACUCCAAUUCCCACAUGAACAGCUGCCAGGUUAACUCCUAUCUUCGCGAGGCUGCUAUCACCGUUGCUUAGGUUCCGGGGCUGUCAUCGCAACGCUCCUCUCCAAGCAAGAAAUCUGGCCAAGACAAUAGCCAGGGACAAGCCAGUGAGUACUUUUGAAUGUACUCGCAAACAUUAUGAACACGGGUAUGAUAUAACAACCAAUAAUCAUACUCUAAAAUAUUCUAUGCUCACAACGUCCGUCAUAAAAAUAAUAUCCCUGAUACAUGCAAGCAGGUUAUUUAUGUAAAACAUGAAUAUGCAAUCAGAGAGUAAAAAUAAAAUGCACCGAGCGGGUGUCUGAAGCGACGCCUCGAAAGGAUAAUAAUAUAAGGCAUGCCUCAGUCGGGCGUCUGCGCGACACCACAUACAUGGCUUAUAAAGUAAAUAAAUAAUGAGCAUGCCACAGUCGGGCGUCUGAGAGACACCACAUAAAGGGCUUAUAAGGUAAACAAUAAGAAUGCCACAGUCGGGCGUCUGAGCGACACCACAUAAAGGGCUUAUAAGGUAAACAAUAAGAAUGCCACAGUCAGGCGUCUGAGCGACACCACAUAAAGGGCUUAUAAGGUAAACAAUAAGAAUGCCACAGUCGGGCGUCUGAGCGACACCACAUAAAGGGCUUAUAAGAAAACAAUCACAGUGAAUAUCCAGGAGGUAGAACCGUCCCAGAAUAAUCCCAGUAAUAUGGUGGGUAAGUCCAUAAUAGUAAUAAUCCCAAUCAUCAUAGUCAACACAAGUCACAGGUCAUGAUCCAUGUUCUGGUUUAGCAGUUUCUCCUCCGAAGACCGACACUUGACCAAACCCAGACUGUAGUCCUUAACCAUGGACAUGGCUAUUCGAAUAGAUUUAACCUCUGCAAACGGUGUACUCUUUACCCACGAGUAACGGAUUCCUUUAGUCCAUCGGGACUAAUUCCGUCUACGGCCUUUUAAUAGAAAACACACCUGACUUGCACACACCAGCUUAACUUACCAGUGUCUGGAAUCACCCACGACACCUGUCAAGCAAAAACUCUAAGUGGGGAGGCUACAACCUCGCGUAGCAUGGGAUCAAAUUCAUAUCGCACACUCUAAGUGGUGCCCCCCUCUCGGUCCCAUCCGAAAACACCCAUGCCCCCGGACCAGGUGGCCUGCCUACCAGCUGCAGUCGGUAUCUUCCACCAUGGCCUCUCUGUACGGUGUGUGCUAGAAAGGGGUUGACAGACAACUUACUGUACCGUACCCUACCUGCUGUAGGGACAAGUGGUAGUACGAAACAAGUAUGGGGGUUACUGGAACAAGACUCGAUCUAUGGCCGACUCAGGAAGUUUAAGUAUUCCCAGCAUGAUUAGCUUAAUGAAUAUAUUUCAUCCAACAGACAGGAUCACCACUCAUCAUACCCCAUCAUGCCAUACCGGACACACUCGUCUCGACGAGGAACUAGGGACAAGCUCGGGUCUACCCAAGAUAGAGACUUUCCAGUUUUCCUUCUGGUAGGCGCGAAGGGCAUACGAGGAUGAUCACUAUCACAAGCAUGUCCAUUUCCAACAGCAAGGAAAUCCCCAAUAUGCAUUCAUGCAAAUGAUCGCGUCACCACAUAAAAUAACGAGUUCUCCGUAUUAAGGUGGUGUUAUAAUCAUGUCAACUAACACACAAAAAUAUUAUGCCAGGGUUCAGAAUGCUUGCCUUCAAGGGUAUGCAAGUGGGGUGUGCCUUUUGAAAGUUGACUUCUUCUCCAAAAACCUAUUUUUGAAAAUAUUCAAAUUAACACAUACUUUAAAAACUGUACAAAAACGUUGCUUGGAAAAUUUUCAAAUAAAUAUGAAAAUAAACUAGACAAUAUUUGGGAAACAACAGAAAAAGAAUCAAGUCAUUUGGAUUUAUAUCUAAAAAGUUAUAGCCUAUCAAAGUUUAGUCAACUUUCUGUUUUUAAAAUAAAUCUGAAAAAAAGAAAAACGUUUCGAAAAGGGUACACGUCGAAGACGUACUUUGGGAAUAUGCCUCCACUUAAAACACGUGGUGGCGGGGUUGGGUCACUGACAGUGGGUCCAGCGGCCCCACUGGUCAGGUUUGACUAGUCCCCCGCCUUCUUCCUCCUCUGUCCGAGCCGAGGCGGGGGCUCCGGCGAUCGACGCUGGCGAACGGCAGCUCCUCGCGGGGCUCUGAGGGCGAGGAUGGAUCCGCCACUCCCAGGUGGUCCUCCCGGUGGUUGAGAGGGUGGCGGGGACGAAGGGAGUCGCCGGCGGUGAGCCUUGCGGUGGACGGCAGCUUCGGGAGGUUUGGGGGUUUGGGUUAUGGUGCUUCCCGAUCGACGCUGAGAGGGUGGGUGGCUCCGCACGGUUGGGGGGAGAAGGAUGGAAGCACGGGAGGGGUUUGGGGGCCUCGGUCUUGACCGGAUUUCACCGGAGUGUGGCGGCGGCCGAACCUGUCGGGGACGAGGAAGAUGGCCGUCAUUCGCCGAUUGCUGGCUACGGGGGGGCUCUAGGGGGGGUGGCUCGAGGCUGCCUGAGUGCUGGGACGAGCUCGGGGUCCCCUUUUAUAGUGCAACGAGGUCGGUUCCGCGGCGGCAGUGGAUAGGGACGCCGGCGAACCGCUUUUCUGUAGCUAGGGGUGAGGUGGAGAUGCUUGGAGCUGGUCGGCGCACUCCGACGAACUCCACACUGCUCAAGAGGCGAGCUGGCUCUCGUGUGUGGCUCGGGCGGCGCCGUCCAGGGCAGAGGUUGUCGGGGCGGCGGUGGCGACAUGCAGUGGUGAUGCUGUGGUGCGCCAGGAGGGGGGGCCAGGGUGGCUCUACAGCGAGGGAGGGGUCGGGACGCUGGCUGCGAGUGGAAGGGGCCAGAACGGGAGCGGGGGAGGCGGCAGCGGGAGGUGGCGGCUUGGGCGCACACACGUGCAAAACGCGCGCUCUGGGCGCGCCCAGAGCACGCACGUGACGUGCUCGACAAAAUGACAGGGUGACCUAGAGUGCUUGAGCGAGGCUGGCAAAUAACCGGACUAGGUUAGAGUCUGCAAGAAAGUUAGUGGACAAACUGGUUUGUCCAGAGGUGCAAGGUCACAGUGCAAAGGCAAAAAUCAUGUCAAAACUGCCCAUGCACUUAAGGUAUUUGACAAAAUGCCAAUGGCAUCUAGGCAACUCUUGGGGUGGCCAAAUAUUCCAGAUCAAAGUCUAUUUAGAUGUAGGAGAGGAUGGCAAGUUUAGUUGGCCAAAUGUAGAAACUUGUUAGUGUAAGUUUUGCAAAACUCCAGUUCUGGACAGAAGGAAAAGGGUAUAAUAUCAUGUACCAAAAAUGCUCCAAUGAGUCCAACCUCCUGGACUUAAGGGUUUGCUAGGGUGGUCUACAAUCAGGAGAAAGAAUCAAGGGAAAAAGAGCAAGCAAAAACAUGGUUGCAAUACAAAUCACCAAGUUGAACCAGAAUGCAAAUGAGGAUGAUUCACUCAAUUUUUUCAAAGAGCAUCAAUGGGUUCUUGCAUAAAGAUGAAUAAUAUACUCCUAUUAACACCCCAUAAUUUUCGUGGAAGUUUUAAAGAAAUAUUUAAUUAGGUUGUAAUGCAAAAUUGCCCAAUGGACCAGAUUUGAAAAUUUGAUGUAGAGCUCAAAAUAUCGAAAAAAUGAUAUAUAAUUUUGCAUAAAAGUGAUUUAAAAACAUCACAUGACAUCCCCAAAUUUUGGUGGGAUUUUUAAAUGAAUUUAUAAAAGGGUUGCAGUUCAAAUGGGACCCUAAAAUUUAUGAAAAACCCUUUUGGAGGAAUAAAGCUCAGGAAAAAUAAUUAUAUAAAUAAUCCUACUGAUAAAAGAAUUGUUUUAUUUGAGAGGGUAACUAAGUCCAAUAAUGUUUGAAACUUUUUCACUUGGGGUAAAAACCUCAUAAAAAUAAAGAAAAGAAUGGUUCUGAAAUCAACAGGAAAUCUAGAAAAUAAAAGUUUAAGUUUCCUGGCAAAAUUUUAAUAAAUAAAACAUGGUUAAAUUUUUGGGGUGUCACAACACUACCCCCCUUAAGAAAAAUCUCGUCCUCGAGAUUUGUUAAGAGUUGUUUUCGAAAAUAUCAUUCCUGUUAGUUGAAACCAAAAGGUUUACUCAUAGUACAAACCUUGUGUCGUCAAGGUUGGUUUUUGGCAGCUACGUCCGAGGUUAAAAAUGCAAUCUCACAUCGACAUACUCAUGCAUGGCUACUAUUUAAAAUAGGGCGCACAAGCAACAGUAUUUAAUUACGGCGAUACAGGGUCACACAGUUACAAGGCGAGGACAUGCUAAGACUUGGUACUACUCGAGCGACUCUAGUCUACCUCGUUAAUAUCUAAGCGGGCGUGCCUUGCGGACGUCGAGGCUUCACCACGGUUUUCACCGUCGGGAUUAGCUGGAGGGGGUUGAGGGGCUACAGGGUCGGGGUAGCGAUGAUGACCAUUCCGGGGAUUGUUGGCCACAAUCCCGUUGGAAUGUGUUCCCAAAAGGCGACGAAGCACUUCUGGGGCCAUCAAGGUAUUAUGGUCGAUGGCUGGGGCAGACCUCAAGGACUCGAUCGGUUGUCCGAACAGCACGACUGGGCUAUCGGUGCCGGACUCCUCUUCUCCUCUUGCUGGGGCUCGGCGGGUCAGUUCUCCACGAGCUGCGAUCAGAUCAAGGGUGAUUUGAUCGAACAGUCCCUCUAGUACACAUAGCCUACCAGAUGCAAUAAUGCAGGAUCCAUCUCGUGGUCUCUGUUGGCAACUUGGGGUGGUCUACCAUAUCCGACACGGCUGGGGUAGUAGUAGAACGAGCGGCAGUUGACUCUGGGCGACAAGUGCCGGAGUUGAACUAUAGCCUCUCGAGCAGCUAGUUGGAUGGCUUGUGGCUCAAAGGAAGUUGUCCUUCCGGUGAACCUGUAGGGGCGUUCUGGCGAUAGACCCCUACCGUAGACGUGCAUAGUGGCCCAGAAUUGACGGCUCUCACCGCUCAUGGGUCCUUGGUACACAACAUAUUCUGGGGGCUCUUCUAACGCGAAGGCACGGCGGGUGAGGUUUGCUAGCACGGUCACAAAACCUCCAAGGUUGGUUGCCGUGGUCUCAUUGUGAACAAUGGGUCCUGGCAUUUUAGCUUGGUUUGGGCAGAGGUUGUGCUGUGCUAGGUUGGGGCUAGCGUGCCCUUUUUAUAAAAAAAAGAACGGAGUCUUCCUUCGCACGCUUGCGAAUGAGAUAAUUUUGGUGUCGGUCACUGGCGCGUGAUCGACAGGCUAGGCUGAUAGGUUGGGCACCGACUGCCAAAAAGGUGUCGAUCACUGUGUGGCUAUCUUACACGAGAAGCUUGGCCGGAGUUAGGUUAAGGCCUGGUGGGUUGGUUUACCUAGGUUUUUUUUUACCUGUCUAAGAUAGGAUUAGCCAAUGGUCAGCCUGGCUCUGAUACCAAGUUUGUCAGGACCGGAUUUUCGGGAUAUUAGUUUCCAGAAAAUGGCCCUUGUGCUCACCAGCCCCAGGAUUACUGUUAGCUGAUGAGGCAACAACUUGAUAUAGAAAUUCCAAGCAAAAUACAUAAUAUGUAGUACAAGACCUUUCUGGCCUAUGAGUACAACAAAUGGUUUCUAGUGGUUGAUGGCGGAAGCGGUUUGUGGAUCAUCAGCGUCUAUGGGACUCCAAUUCCCACAGGAAUAGCUGACCUGGUUAACUCCUAUCUUCGUGAGGCUGCUAUCACCGUUGCUUAGGUUCCGGGGCUGUCAUCGCAACGCUCCUCUCCAAGCAAGAAAUCUGGCCAAGACAAUAGCCAGGGACAAGCCAGUGAGUACUUUUGAAUGUACUCGCAAACAUUAUGAACAUGGGUAUGAUAUAACAACCAAUAAUCAUACUCUAAAAUAUUCUAUGCUCACAACGUCCGUCAUAAAAAUAAUAUCCAUGAUACAUGCAAGCAGGUUAUUUACGUAAAACAUGAAUAUGCAAUCAGAGAGUAAAAAUAAAAUGCACCGAGCGGGUGUCUGAAGCGACGCCUUGAAAGUAUAAUAAUAUAAGGCAUGCCUCAGUCGGGCGUCUGCGCGACACCACAUACAUGGCUUAUAAAGUAAAUAAAUAAUGAGCAUGCCACAGUCGGGCGUCUGAGCGACACCACAUAAAGGGCUUAUAAGGUAAACAGUAAGAAUGCCACAGUCGGGCGUCUGAGCGACACCACAUAAAGGGCUUAUAAGGUAAACAAUAAGAAUGCCACAGUCGGGCGUCUGAGCGACACCACAUAAAGGGCUUAUAAGGUAAACAAUAAGAAUGCCACAGUCGGGCGUCUGAGCGACACCACAUAAAGGGCUUAUAAGAAAACAAUCACAGUGAAUAUCCAGGAGGUAGAACCAUCCCAGGGAUACUCAAUAAUCCCAGUAAUAUGGUGGGUUAGUCCAUAAUAAUAAUAAUCACAAUCAUCAUAAUCAACACAAGUCACAGGUCAUGAUCCAUGUUCUGGUUUAGCAGUUUCUCCUCCGAAGACCGACACUAAGACCGACACUUGACCCAACCCAUACUGUAGUCCUUAACCAUGGACACGGCUAUUCGAAUAGAUUUAACCUCUGCAGAGGGUGUACUCUUUACCCACGAGUAACGGAUUCCUUAAGUCCAUCGGGACUAAUUUCGUCUACGGUCUUUUAAUUGAAAACACACCUGACUUGCACGCAACAGCUUAACUUACCGGUGUCUGGAAUCACCCACGAAACCUGUCAAGCAAAAACUCUAAAUGUGGAGGCUACAACCUCACAUAGCAUGGGAUCAAAUUUAUAUCACGCGCUCUAAGGGGUGCCCCCCCCUCUCGGUCCCAGCCGGAAACACCCAUGCCCCCGGACCAGGUGGCCUGCCUACCGGCUACACUCGGUAUCUUCGACCAUGGCCUCUCUGUACGGUGUGUGCUAGAAAGGGGUUGACAACUUACUAAACCAUACCCUACCUACUGUAGGGACAAGUGGUAGUACGAAACAAGUAUGGGGGUUACUGGAACAAGACUCGAUCUAUGGCCGACUCAGGAGGUUUAAGUAUUCCCUGCAUGAUUAGCUUAACGAAUAUAUUUCAUCCAACAGACAGGAUCACCACUCAUCAUACCCCAUCAUGCCGUACCGGACACACUCGUCUCGAAGAGGAACUACGGACAAGCUCGGGUCUACCCAAGACAGAGACUUUCCCGUUUUCCUUUCGGUAGGCGCGAAGGGCAUACGAGGAUGAUCACUAUCACAAGCAUGUCCAUUUCCAACAGCAAGGAAAUCCCCAAUAUGCAUUCAUGCAAAUGAUCGCGUCACCACAUAAAAUAAUGAGUUCUCCGUAUUAAGGUGGUGUUAUAAUCAUGUCAACCAACACACAAAAAUAUUAUGCCAGGGUUCAGAAUGCUUACCUUCAAGGGUAUGCAAGUGGGGUGUGCCUUUUGAAAGUUGACUUCUUCUUCCAAAACCUAUUUUCGAAAAUAUUCAAAUUAGCACAUACUUUAAAAACAGUACAAAAAAGUUGCUUGGAAAAUUUUCAAAUAAAUAUGAAAAUAAACUAGACAAUAUUUGGGAAACAACAGAAAAAGAAUCAAGUCAUUUGGAUUUAUAUCUAAAAAGUUAUAGCCUGUCAAACUUUAGUCAACUUUCUGUUUUUAAAAUAAAACUGAAAAAAAAAGAAAAACGUUUCGAAAAGGGUACACAUCGAAGUCGUACUUUGGGAAUACGCCUCCACUUAAAACACGUGGUGGCGGGGCUGGGUCACUGACACUGGGUCCAGCGGCCCCACUGGUCAGGUUUGACUAGUCCCCCGCCUUCUCCCUCCUCUCUCCGAGCCGAGGCGGGGGCUCCGACGAUCGACGCCGGCGAACGGCGGCUCCUCGCGGGGCUCUGAGGGCGGGGAUGGAUCCGCCACUCCCGGGCGGUCCUCCCGGUGGUCGAGAGGGUGGCGGGAAUGAAGGGAGUCGCCGGCGGCGAGCCUUGCGGCGGACGGCAGCUUCGGGAGGUUUGGGGGUUUGGGUUAUGGUGCUUCCCGAUUGACGCUGAGAGGGUGGGUGGCUCUGCACGGUUGGGGGGAGAAGGAUGGAAGCACGGGAGGGGUUUGGGGGCCUCGGUCUUGGCCGGAUUUCACCGGAGUGUGGCGGCGGCCGAACCUGUCAGGGAUGAGGAAGAUGGCCGUCAUUCGCCGAUUGCUGGCUACGGGAGGGCUCUAGGGGGGUGGCUCGAGGCUGCCUGAGUGCUGGGACGAGCUCGGGGUCCCCUUUUAUAGUGCAACGAGGUUGGUUCCGCGGCGGCAGUGGAUCGGGACACCGGCGAACCGCCGUUCUGUAGCUAGGGGCGACGUGGAGGUGGUUGGAGCUGGUCGGCGCACUCCGACGAACUCCACACUGCUCAAGGGGCGAGCUGGCGCGCGUGUGUGGCUCGGGCGGCGCUAUCCAGGGCAUAGGUUGUCGGGGCGGCGGUGGCGGCCUGCGGUGGUGAUGUUGUGGUGCGCCAGGAGGGGGGGCCAGGGUGGCUCUGCGGCGAGGGAGGGGUCGGGACGCUGGCUGCGAGUGGAAGGGGCCAGAACGGGUGCGGGGGAGGCGGCAGCGGGACGCGGCGGCUCGGGCGCACGCACGUGCAAAACGCGCGCUCUGGCCGCGCCCAGAGCACGCACGCGACGUGCUCGACAAAAUGCCAGGGUGACCUAGAGUGCUUGAGCGAGGCUGGCAAAUAACCGGACUAGGUUAGAGUCUGCAAGAAAGUUAGUGGACAAACUGGUUUGUCCAGAGGUGCAAGGUCACAGUGCAAAGGCAAAAAUCAUGUCAAAACUGCCCAUGCACUUAAGGUGUUUGACAAAAUGCCAAUGGCAUCUAGGCAACUCUUGGGUGGCCAAAUAUUCCAGAUCAAAGUCUCUUUAGAUGUAGGAGAGGAUGGCAAGGUUAGUUGGCCAAAUCUAGAAACUUGUUAGUGUAAGUUUUGCAAAAGUCUAGUUCUGGACAGAAGGAAAAGGGUAUAAUAUCAUGUACCAAAAAUGCUCCAAUGAGUCCAACCUCCUGGACUUAAGGGUUUGGUAGGGUGGUCUAGAAUUAGGAGAAAGAAUCAAGGGAAAAAGAGCAAGCAAAAAUAUGGUUGCAAUACAAAUCACCAAGUUGAACCAGAAUGCAAAUGAGGAUGAUUCACUCAAUUUUCUCAAAGAGCAUCAAUGGGUUUUUGCAUAAAGAUGAAUAAUAUACUCCUAUUAACACCCCAUAAUUUUGGUGGAAGUUUUAAAGAAAUAUUUAAUUAGGUUGUAGUGCAAAAUUACCCACUGGACCAGAUUUGAAAAUUUGAUGUAGACCUCAAAAUAUCCAAAGAAUGAAAUAUAUUUUUGCAUAAAAGUGAUUUAAAAACAUCACAUGACAUCCCCAAAUUUUGGUGGGAUUUUUAAAUGAAUUUAUAAAAGGGUUGCAGUUCAAAUGGGACCCUAAAAUUUAUGAAAAACCCUUUUGGAGGAAUAAAGCUCAGGAAAAAUAAUUAUAUAAAUAAUCCUACUGAUAAAAGAAUUGUUUUAUUUGAGAGGGUAACUAAGUCUAAUAAUGUUUGAAACUUUUUCACUUGGGGUAAAAACCUCAUAAAAAUAAAGAAAAGAAUGGUUCUGAAAUCAACAGGAAAUCUAGAAAAUAAAAGUUUAAGUUUCCUGGCAAAAUUUUAAUAAAUAAAACAUGGUUAAAUUUUUGGGGUGUCACAACACUACCCCCCUUAAGAAAAAUCUCGUCCUCGAGAUUUGUUAAGAGUUGUUUUCGAAAAUAUCAUUCCUGUUAGUUGAAACCAAAAGGUUUACUCAUAGUACAAACCUUGUGUCGUCAAGGUUGGUUUUUGGCAGCUACGUCCGAGGUUAAAAAUGCAAUCGCACAUCGACAUACUCAUGCAUGGCUACUAUUUAAAAUAGGGCGCACAAGCAACAGUAUUUAAUUACGGCGAUACAGGGUCACACAGUUACAAGGCGAGGACAUGCUAAGACUUGGUACUACUCGAGCAACUCUAGUCUACCUCGUUAAUAUCUAAGCGGGCGUGCCUUGCGGACUUCGAGGCUUCGCCACGGUUUUCACCAUCGGGAUUAGCUGGAGGGGGUUGAGGGGCUGCAGGGUCGGGGUAGCGAUGAUGACCAUUCCGGGGAUUGUUGGCCACAAUCCCGUUGGAAUGUGUUCCCAAAAGGCGACGAAGCACUUCUGGGGCCAUCGAGGUAUUAUGGUCGAUGGCUGGGGCAGACCUCAAGGACUCGAUCGGUUGUCCGAACAGCACGACUGGGCUGUCGGUGUCGGGCUCCUCUUCUCCUCUUGCUGGGGCUCGGCGGGUCAGUUCUCCACGAGCUGCGAUCAGAUCAGGGGUGAUUUGAUCGAACAAUCCCUCUAGUACACAUAGCGUACCAGAUGCAAUAAUGCAGGAUCCGUCUCGUGGUCUCCGUUGGCAACUUGGGGUGGUCUACCAUAUCCGUCACGGCUGGGGUAGUAGUAGAACGAGCGGUAGUUGACUCUGGGCGACAAGUGUCGGAGUUGAACUAUAGCCUCUCGAGCAGCUAGUUGGAUGGCUUGUGGCUCAAAGGAAGUUGUCCUUCCGGUGAACCUGUAGGGGCGUUCUGGCGAUAGACCCCUACCGUAGACGUGCACAGUGGCCCAGAAUUGACGGCUCUCACAGCUCAUGGGUCCUUGGUACACAACAUAUUCUGGGGGCUCUUCUAUCGCGAAGGCACGGCGGGUGAGGUUUGCUAGCACGGUCACAAAACCUCCAAGGUUGGUUGCCGUGGUCUCAUUGUGAACAAUGGGUCCUGGCAUUUUAGCUUGGUUUGGGCAGAGGUUGUGCUGUGCUGGGUUUGGGCUAGCAUGCCCUUUAUUAAAAAAAAGGACGGAGUCUUCCUUCGCACGCUUGCGAAUGACAUAAUUUUGGUGUCGGUCACUGGCGCGUGAUCGACAGGCUAGGCUGAUAGGUUGGGCACUGACUGCCAAAAAGGUGACGGUCACUGUGUGGCUAUCUUACACGAGAAACUUGGCCGGGGUUAGGUUAAGGCCUGGUGGGUUGGUUUACCUAGGUUUUUUUUGACCUGUCUAAGAUAGGAUUAGCCAAUGGCCAGCCUGGCUCUGAUACCAAGUUUGUAAGGACCGGAUUUUUGGGAUAUUAGUUUCCAGAAAAUGGCCCUUAUGCUCACCAGCCCCAGGAUUACUGUUAGCUGAUGAGGCAACUACUUGAUACAGAAAUUCCAAGCAAAAUACAUAAUAAGUAGUACAAGACCAUUCUGGCCUAUGAGUACAACAAAUGGUUUCUAGUGGUUGACGGCGGAAGCGGUUUGUGGAUCAUCAGUGUCUAUGGGACUCCAAUUCCCACAGGAACAGCAGACCAGGUUAACUUAUCUUCGUGAGGCUGCUAUCACCGUUGCUUAGGUUCCCGGGCUGUCAUCACAACGCUCCUCUCCAAGCAAGAAAUCUGGCCAAGACAAUAGCCAGGGACAAGCCAGUGAGUACUUUUGAAUGUACUCGCAAACAUUAUGAACACGGGUAUGAUAUAACAACCAAUAAUCAUACUCUAAAAUAUUCUAUGCUCACAACGUCCGUCAUAAAAAUAAUAUCCCUGAUACAUGCAAGUAGGUUAUUUAUGUAAAACAUGAAUAUGCAAUCAGAGAGUAAAAAUAAAAUGCACCGAGCGGGUGUCUGAAGCGACGCCUCGAAAGGAUAAUAAUAUAAGGCAUGCCUCAGUCGGGCGUCUGCGCGACACCACAUACAGGGCUUAUGAAGUAAAUAAAUAAUGAGCAUGCCACAGUCGGGCGUCUGAGCGACACCACAUAAAGGGCUUAUAAGGUAAACAAUAAGAAUGCCACAGUCGGGCGUCUGAGCGACACCACAUAAAGGGCUUAUAAGGUAAACAAUAAGAAUGCCACAGUCGGGCGUUUGAGCGACACCACAUAAAGGGCUUAUAAGAAAACAAUCACAGUGAAUAUCCAAGAGGUAGACCCGUCCUAGGGAUACUCAAUAAUCCCAGUAAUAUGGUGGGUUAGUCCAUAAUAAUAAUAAUCACAAUCAUCAUAAUCAACACAAGUCACAGGUCAUGAUCCAUGUUCUGGUUUAGCAGUUUCUCCUCCGAAGACCGACACUAAGACCGACACUUGACCCAACCCAUACUGUAGUCCUUAACCAUGGACAUGGCUAUUCGAAUAGAUUUAACCUCUGCAGAGGGUGUACUCUUUACCCACGAGUAACGGAUUCCUUUAGUCCAUCGGGACUAAUACCGUCUACGGUCUUUUAAUUGAAAACACACCUGACUUGCACACACCAGCUUAACUUACCGUUGUCUCGAAUCACCCACGACAUCUGUCAAGCAAAAACUCUAAGUGUGGAGGCUACAACCUCGCAUAGCAUGGGAUCAAAUUUAUAUCGCGCGCUCUAAGGGGUGCCCCCCUCUCGGUCCCAACCGGAAACACCCAUGCCGCCGGACCAAGUGGCCUGCCUACCGGCUGUAGUCGGUAUCUUCCACCAUGGCCUCUCUGUACGGUGUGUGCUAGAAAGGGGUUGACAACUUACUGAACCGUACCCUACCUGCUGUAGGGACAAGUGGUAGUAUGAAACAAGUAUGGGGGUUACUGGAACAAGACUCGAUCUAUGGCCGACUCAGGAGGUUUAAGUAUUCCCUGCAUGAUUAGCUUAACGAAUAUAUUUCAUCCAACAGACAGGAUCACCACUCAUCAUACCCCAUCAUGCCAUACCGGACACACUCGUAUCGACGAGGAACUAGGGAUAAGCUCGGGUCUACCCAAGACAGAGACUUUCCCGUUUUCCUUCCGGUAGGCGCGAAUGGCAUACGAGGAUGAUCACUAUCACAAGCAUGUCCAUUUCCAACAGCAAGGAAAUCCCCAAUAUACAUUCAUGCAAAUGAUCGCGUCACCACAUAAAAUAACGAGUUCUCCGUAUUAAGGUGGUGUUAUAAUCAUGUCAACCAACACACAAAAAUAUUAUGCCGGGGUUCAGAAUGCUUACCUUCAAGGGUAUGCAAGUGGGGUGUGCCUUUUGAAAGUUGACUUCUUCUUCAAAUACCUAUUUUCAAAAAUAUUCAAAUUAACACAUACUUUAAAAACAGUACAAAAAAGUUACUUGGAAAAUUUUCAAAUAAAUAUGAAAAUAAACUAGACAAUAUUUGGGAAACAGCAUAAAAAGAAUCAAGUUAUUUGGAUUUAUAUCUAAAAAUUAUAGCCUGUCAAAGUUUAGUCAACUUUCUUUUUUUAAAAUAAAACUGAAAAAAAAGAAAAACGUUUCGAAAAGGGUACACGUCGAAGACGUACUUUGGGAAUACGCCUCCACUUAAAACACGUGGUGGUGGAGCUGGGUCACUGACACUGGGUCCAGCGGCCCCACUAGUCAGGUUUGACUAGUCCCCCGCCUUCUUCCUCCUCUGUCCGAGCCGAGGCGGGGGCUCCGGCUAUCGACGCCGGCGAACGGCGGCUCCUCGCGGGGCUCUAAGGGCGGGGAUGGAUCCGCCACUCCCGUGCGGUCCUCCCGGUGGUCGAGAGGGUGGCGGGGACGAAGGGAGUCGCCGGCGGCGAGCCUUGCGGCGGACGGCAGCUUCGGGAGGUUUGGGGGUUUGGGUUAUGGUGCUUCUCGAUCGACGCUGAGAGGGUGGGUGGCUCUGCACGGUUGGGGGGAGAAGGAUGGAAGCACAGGAGGGGUUUGGGGGCCUCGGUCUUGGCCGAAUUUCACCGGAGUGUGGCGGCGGCCGAACCUGUCGGGGACGAGGAAGAUGGCCGUCAUUCUCCGAUUGCUGGCUACGGGGGGGGGGCUCUAGGGGGGUGGCUCGAGGCUGCCUGAGUGCUGGGACGAGCUCGGGGUCCCCUUUUAUAGUGCAACGAGGUCGGUUCCGCGGCGGCAGUGGAUAGGGACGCAGCGAACCGCCAUUCUGUAGCUAGGGGCGACGUGGAGGUGGUUGGAGCUGGUCGGCGCACUCCGAUGAACUCCACACUGCUCAAGGGGCAAGCUGGCGCGCGUGUGUGGCUCGGGCGCCGCCGUCCAGGGCAGAGGUUGUCGGGGCGGCGCUGGCGGCAUGCGGUUGUGAUGCUGUGGUGCGCCAGGAGGGGGGCAGGGUGGCGCUGCGGCGAGGGAGGCGGGACGCUGGCUGCGAGUGGAAGGGGCCAGAACGGGUGCGGGGGAGGCGGCAGCGGGACGCGGUGGCUCGGGCGCAUGCACGUGCAAAACGCGCGCUCUAGCCGCGCCCAGAGCACGCACGCGACAUGCUCAACAAAAUGCCAGGGUGACCUAGAGUGCUUGAGCGAGGCUGGCAAAUAACCGGACUAGGUUAGAGUCUGCAAGAAAGUUAGUGGACAAACUGGUUUGUCCAGAGGUGCAAGGUCACAGUGCAAAGGCAAAAAUCAUGUCAAAACUGCCCAUGCACUCAAGGUGUUUGACAAAAUGCCAAUGGCAUCUAGGCAACUCUUGGGGUGGCCAAAUAUUCCAGAUCAAAGUCUAUUUAGAUGUAGGAGAGGAUGGCAAGGUUAGUUGGCCAAAUCUAGAACCUUGUUAGUGUAAGUUUUGCAAAACUCCAGUUCUGGACAGAAGGAAAAGGGUAUAAUAUCAUGUACCAAAAAUGCUCCAAUGAGUCCAACCUCCUGGACUUAAGGGUUUGGUAGGGUGGUCUAGAAUCAGGAGAAAGAAUCAAGGGAAAAAGAGCAAGCAAAAAUAUGGUUUCAAUAAAAAUCACCAAGUUGAACCAGAAUGCAAAUGAGGAUGAUUCACUCAAUUUUUUCAAAGAGCAUCAAUGGGUUUUUGCAUAAAGAUGAAUAAUAUACUCCUAUUAACACCCCAUAAUUUUGGUGGAAGUUUUAAAGAAAUAUUUAAUUAGGUUGUAGUGCAAAAUUGCCCACUUGACCAGAUUUGAAAAUUUGAUGUAGAGCUCAAAAUAUCCAAAGAAUGAUAUAUAUUUUUGCAUAAAAGUGAUUUAAAAACAUCACAUGACAUCCCCAAAUUUUGGUGGGAUUUUUAAAUGAAUUUAUAAAAGGGUUGCAGUUCAAAUGGAACCCUAAAACUUAUGAAAACCCCUUUUAGAGGAAUAAAGCUCAGGAAAAAUAAUUAUAUAAAUAAUCCUACUGAUAAAAGAAUUGUUUUAUUUGAGAGGGUAAAUAAGUCCAAUAAUGUUUGAAUUUUUUUCACUUGGGGUAAAAACCUCAUAAAAAUAAAGAAAAGAAUGGUUCUGAAAUCAAUAGGAAAUCCUGAAAAUAAAAGUUUAAGUUUCCUGGCAAAAUUUUAAUAAAUAAAACAUGGUUAAAUUUUUGGGGUGUCACAACACUACCCCCCUUAAGAAAAAUCUCGUCCUCAAGAUUUGUUAAGAGUUGUUUUCGAAAAUAUCAUUCCUGUUAGUUGAAACCAAAAGGUUUACUCAUAGUACAAACCUUGUGUCGUCAAGGUUGGUUUUUGGCAGCUACGUCCGUGGUUAAAAAUGCAAUCGCACAUCGACAUACUCAUGCAUGGCUACUAUUUAAAAUAGGGCGCACAAGCAACAGUAUUUAAUUACGGCGAUACAGGUUCACACAGUUACAAGGCGAGGACAUGCUAAGACUUGGUACUACUCGAGCAACUCUAGUCUACCUCGUUAAUAUCUAAGCGGGCGUGCCUUGCGGACUUCGAGGCUUCGCCACGGUUUUCACCAUCGGGAUUAGCUGGAGGGGGUUGAGGGGCUGCAGGGUCGGGGUAGCGAUGAUGACCAUUCCGGGGAUUGUUGGCCACAAUCCCGUUGGAAUGUGUUCCCAAAAGGCGACGAAGCACUUCUGGGGCCAUCGAGGUAUUAUGGUCGAUGGCUGGGGCAGACCUCAAGGACUCGAUCGGUUGUCCGAACAGCACGACUGGGCUGUCGGUGCCGGGCUCCUCUUUUCCUCUUGCUGGGGCUCGGCGGGUCAGUUCUCCACGAGCUGCGAUCAGAUCAAGGGUGAUUUGAUCGAACAGUCCCUCUAAUACACAUACCGUACCAGAUGCAAUAAUGCAGGAUCCAUCUCGUGGUCUCCGUUGGCAACUUGGGGUGGUCUACCAUAUCCGUCACGGCUGGGGUAGUAGUAGAACGAGCGGCAAUUGACUCUGGGCGACAAGUGCCGGAGUUGAACUAUAGCCUCUCGAGCAGCUAGUUGGAUGGCUUGUGGCUCAAAGGAAGUUGUCCUUCCGGUGAACCUGUAGGGGCAUUCUGGUGAUAGACCCCUACCGUAGACGUGCACAGUGGCCCAGAAUUGAUGGCUCUCACCGCUCAUGGGUCCUUGGUACACAACAUAUUCUGGGGGCUCUUCUAACGCGAAGGCACGGCGGGUGAGGUUUGCUAGCACGGUCACAAAACCUCCAAGGUUGGUUGCCGUGGUCUCAUUGUGAACAAUUGGUCCUGGCAUUUUAGCUUGGUUUGGGCAGAGGUUGUGAUGUGCUGGGUUGGGGCUAGCGUGCCCUUUUUAUAAAAAAAAGGACGGAGUCUUCCUUCGCACGCUUGCGAAUGAGAUAAUUUUGGUGUCGGUCACUGGCGCGUGAUCGACAGGCUAGGCUGAUAGGUUGGGCACCGACUGCCAAAAAGGUGUUGGUCACUGUGUGGCUAUCUUACACGAGAAGCUUGGCCGGGGUUAGGUUAAGGCCUGGUGGGUUGGUUUACCUAGGUUUUUUUUUGACCUGUCUAAGAUAGGAUUAGCCAAUGGUCAGUCUGGCUUUGAUACCAAGUUUGUCAGGACCGGAUUUUCGGGAUAUUAGUUUCCAGAAAAUUGCCCUUGUGCUCACCAGCCCCAGGAUUACUGUUAGCUGAUGAGGCAACAACUUGAUACAGAAAUUCCAAGCAAAAUACACAAUAUGUAGUACAAGACCUUUCUGGCCUAUGAGUACAACAAAUGGUUUCUAGUGGUUGAUGGCGGAAGCGGUUUGUGGAUCAUCAGCGCCUAUGGGACUCCAAUUCCCACAGGAACAGCUGACCUGAUUAACUCCUAUCUUCGUGAGGCUGCUAUCACCGUUGCUUAGGUUCCGGGGCUGUCAUCGCAACGCUCCUCACCAAGCAAGAAAUCUGGCCAAGACAAUAGCCAGGGACAAGCCAGUGAGUACUUUUGAAUGUACUCGCAAACAUUAUGAACACGGGUAUGAUAUAACAACCAGUAAUCAUACUCUAAAAUAUUCUAUGCUCACAACGUCCGUCAUAAAAAUAAUAUCCCUGAUACAUGCAAGCAGGUUAUUUAUGUAAAACAUGAAUAUUCAAUCAGAGAGUAAAAAUAAAAUGCACCGAGCGGGUGUCUGAAGCGACGCCUCGAAAGGAUAAUAAUAUAGGGCAUGCCUCAGCCGGGCGUCUGCGCGACACCACAUACAUGGCUUAUAAAGUAAAUAAAUAAUGAGCAUGCCACAGUCGGGCGUCUGAGCGACACCACAUAAAGGGCUUAUAAGGUAAACAAUAAGAAUGCCACAGUCGGGCGUCUGAGCGACACCACAUAAAGGGCUUAUAAGGUAAACAAUAAGAAUGCCGCAGUCGGGCGUCUGAGCGACACCACAUAAAGGUCUUAUAAGGUAAACAAUAAGAAUGCCACAGUCGGGCGUCUGAGCGACACCACAUAAAGGGCUUAUAAUAAAACAAUCACAGUGAAUAUCCAGGAGGUAGAACCGUCCCAGGGAUACUCAAUAAUCCCAGUAAUAUGGUGGGUUAGUCCAUAAUAAUAAUAAUCACAAUCAUCAUAAUCAACACAAGUCACAGGUCAUGAUCCAUGUUCUGGUUUAGCAGUUUCUCCUCAGAAGACCGACACUUGACCCAACCCAUACUGUAGUCCUUAACCAUGGACACGUCUAUUCGAAUAGAUUUAACCUCUGCAGAGGGUGUACUCUUUACCCACGAGUAACGGAUUCCUUUAGUCCAUCGGGACUAAUUCCGUCUACGGUCUUUUAAUUGAAAACACACCUGACUUGCACACACCAGCUUAACUUACCGGUGUCUGGAAUCACCCACGACACCUGUCAAGCAAAAACUCUAAGUGUGGAGGCUACAACCUCGCAUAGCAUGGGAUCAAAUUUAUAUCGCGCGCUCUAAGGGGUGCCCCCGCCCCCUCUCGGUCCGAACCGGAAACACCCAUGCCCCCGGACCAGGUGGCCUGCCUACCGGCUGCAGUCGGUAUCUUCCACCAUGACCUCUCUGUACAGGGACUUUCCCGUUUUCCUUUCGGUAGGCGCGAAGGGCAUACGAGGAUGAUCACUAUCACAAGCAUGUCCAUUUCCAACAGCAAGGAAAUCCCCAAUAUGCAUUCAUGCAAAUGAUCGCGUCACCACAUAAAAUAACGAGUUCUCCCUAUUAAGGUGGUGUUAUAAUCAUGUCAACCAACACACAAAAAUAUUACGCCAGGGUUCAGAAUGCUUACCUUCAAGGGUAUGCAAGUGGGGUGUACCUUUUGAAAGUUGUCUUCUUCUUCAAAAACCUAUUUUCGAAAAUAUUCAAAUUAACACAUACUUUAAAAACAGUACAAAAAGUUGCUUGGAAAAUUUUCGAAUAAAUAUGAAAAUAAACUAGACAAUAUUUGGGAAACAACAGAAAAAGAAUCAAGUCAUUUGGAUUUAUAUCUAAAAAGUUAUAGCCUGUCAAACUUUAGUCAACUUUUUGUUUUUAAAAUAAAACUGAAAAAAAAUGUUUCGAAAAGGGUACACGUCAAAGUCGUACUUUGGGAAUACGCCUCCACUUAAAACACGUGGUGGCGGGGCUGGGUCACUAACACUAGGUCCAGCGGCCCCACUGGUCAGGUUUGACUAGUCCCCCGCCUUCUUCCUCCUCUGUCCGAGCCGAGGCGGGGGCUCCGGCGAUCGACGCCGGCGAACGACGGCUCCUCGCGGGGCUCUGAGGGCGGGGAUGGAUCCGCCACUCCCGGGCGGUCCUCCCGAUGGUCGAGAGGGUGGCGGGGACGAAGGGAGUCGCCGGCGGCGAGCCUUGCGGCGGACGGCAGCUUCGGGAGGUUUGGGGGUUUGGGUUAUGGUGCUUCCCGAUCGACGCUGAGAGGGUGGGUGGCUCCGCACGGUUGGGGGAGAAGGAUGGAAGCACGGGAGGGGUUUGGGGGCCUCGGUCUUGGCCGGAUUUCACCGGAGUGUGGCGGCGGCCGAACCUGUCGGGGACGAGGAAGAUGGCCGUCAUUCACCGAUUGCUGGCUACGGGAGGGCUCUAGGGGGGUGGCUCGAGGCUGCCUGAGUGCUGGGACGAGCUCGGGGUCCCCUUUUAUAGUGCAACGAGGUUGGUUCCGCGGCGGCAGUGGAUCGGGACACCGGCGAACCGCCGUUCUGUAGCUAGGGGCGACGUGGAGGUGGUUGGAGCUGGUCGGCGCACUCCGACGAACUCCACACUGCUCAAGGGGCGAGCUGGCGCGCGUGUGUGGCUCGGGCGGCGCUAUCCAGGGCAGAGGUUGUCGGGGCGGCGGUGGCGGCCUGCGGUGGUGAUGUUGUGGUGCGCCAGGAGGGGGGGCCAGGGUGGCUCUGCGGCGAGGGAGGGGUCGGGACGCUGGCUGCGAGUGGAAGGGGCCAGAACGGGUGCGGGGGAGGCGGCAGCGGGACGCGGCGGCUCGGGCGCACGCACGUGCAAAACGCGCGCUCUGGCCGCGCCCAGAGCACGCACGCGACGUGCUCGACAAAAUGCCAGGGUGACCUAGAGUGCUUGAGCGAGGCUGGCAAAUAACCGGACUAGGUUAGAGUCUGCAAGAAAGUUAGUGGACAAACUGGUUUGUCCAGAGGUGCAAGGUCACAGUGCAAAGGCAAAAAUCAUGUCAAAACUGCCCAUGCACUCAAGGUGUUUGACAAAAUGCCAAUGGAAUCUAGGCAACUCUUGGGGUGGCCAAAUAUUCCAGAUCAAAGUCUCUUUAGAUGUAGGAGAGGAUGGCAAGGUUAGUUGGCCAAAUCUAGAAACUUGUUAGUGUAAGUUUUGCAAAAGUCUAGUUCUGGACAGAAGGAAAAGGGUAUAAUAUCAUGUACCAAAAAUUCUCCAAUGAGUCCAACCUCCUGGACUUAAGGGUUUGGUAGGGUGGUCUAGAAUCAGGAGAAAGAAUCAAGGGAAAAAGAGCAAGCAAAAAUAUGGUUGCAAUACAAAUCACCAAGUUGAACCAGAAUGCAAAUGAGGAUGAUUCACUCAAUUUUUUCAAAGAGCAUCAAUGGGUUUUUGCAUAAAGAUGAAUAGUAUACUCCUAUUAACACCCCAUAAUUUUGGCGGAAGUUUUAAAGAAAUAUUUAAUUAGGUUGUAGUGCAAAAUUGCCCACUGGACCAGAUUUGAAAUUUUGAUGUAGAGCUCAAAAUAUCCAAAGAAUGAAAUAUAUUUUUGCAUAAAAGUGAUUUAAAAACAUCACAUGACAUCCCCAAAUUUUGGUGGGAUUUUUAAAUGAAUUUAUAAAAGGGUUGCAGUUCAAAUGGGACCCUAAAACUUAUGAAAAAUCCUUUUAGAGGAAUAAAGCUCAGGAAAAAUAAUUAUAUAAAUAAUCCUACUGAUAAAAGAAUUGUUUUAUUUGAGAGGGUAAAUAAGUACAAUAAUGUUUGAAAAGUUUUCACUUGGGGUAAAAACCUCAUCAAAAUAAAGAAAAGAAUGGUCCUGAAAUCAAUAGGAAAUCCAGAAAAUAAAAGUUUAAGUUUCCUGGCAAAAUUUUAAUAAAUAAAACACGGUUAAAUUUUUGGGGUGUCACAGACAAUCUCUAUGGACUAAUGGUUGCUUUGAGUUAUAUUUGAAAGGUUAUCCAUAGGCAAUGCUUGAAGACCAUAUGUUGGUUUCAAGGUUGAAAGAAGAAUAUUAUUUGUUGACCAAGGUGUUAUUCAUGGAGUUAUCCAAAUAUUGGUCAUGUGAGAGUUGAGUAUAUUGCAAGCAUGUCUUGAAAAUAAGAUUAUUUGAACAUUCAUGUUGCCUUUAAUACAUCAUCUUUAUGAAGAGAGAAGAUAAGAUACAAGGUUGAUCAAGACUAAGUACAAAGAAUGGAUUCAAGUUGAUGAACACACAAAGCAUAGAAGAUGUACCGAGUCGAAUCAAGUGAUCUCACGAUAUGGUAAGCAUUGUCCAUUAUGCUUUGUGUAACCCAUGAUCUAUUUGUGUGGUGUUCCUAUGUGGGGCUAGUUUUUUUCCAUGGGCUUACAUCAAGAGGAAGAUAUCAGAUAACCCAUGGAGGAUGACAUCAUGUGGUGAUCGUCAUCAAUGUUGUGUUGUGCAAGUUCAAGUGGAGCAUCACAAAGAGAUCACAUGCUUGAAGCUUGCCAUCCAUUCUGGUGAUAAUGGAGUUGUGAAGAUGUGCCAAAGAGAGGCCAACCCAUAGUGGAGUAUGGGGGAGCAAUAUAUUGGUCUUCAUCGAGCUAGCGCAAUCAGAAAGGUGGUCCAACAUGAGGAGGACGAGAUCAUCAUCGUCUAGCUCAAGUGGACUAUGCGCAAGGCAAAGGUUUGACCUUAAUAGGUUUUCUGUUUUACCGAUCUGAUGGUGUUAGUUGGGAGACCGGGUUGAAGGAUUGAUUGACGUACUAUCAAGGGGGCUCUCGAGUGAGUAGCUUGAGCGUAUCAUUCAUAGAGAGCUCAAACCAUUGCAUCAUUGGCAUCAUCUUUCUUGGUUCUUGUUUGGCUUUUCCCUAUGUGAGUUUUGGAGCUUGUGGUCAUCUCCGUGGCAAGUUCAAGUUGAUCAAAAAUGGAUUUCAUAUGCAGCAUGUAUUGUGUUUUCGAUGUAGGAGUUUUUGCCAGUUCUUCACUCAUGUAUAUUUCACACCUCUAUUGUGAUUUGACAACUCUUGUAGUUACCUUUCUAUCAAGUUUCAAUUCAUCAAUAUCAAAGUGGUGGUACCGCUUGCUACUGGUGGUAGUACUGCUUAUGCAGUACUUUCGCUGGUUGGUGCCGUGGCUACCUCUGGUUGUGUUUAGUCUUCUGUAUGCCUCUGGCAAUUCGCGGUAGUGCCACUGCUUCCAACGGUAGUACCGCUUGAUGCGGUUCUUCCGCUCUGGCGCCGCUUGAACUACUGCUGGUUUGUCUGUUAGCCUAUUGACAAUUAGCGACAGUAUCGCUUGUUGUAGCCGGUGGGACCGCUCCGGCAGAACUAGGAUGCGAGUACCACUGUGGUACUCGAUGAGCCUUAGUGAAACUGCCGCUCUUAGCAGUAGUACCGCUUGAGCAUGACCAGUGCAUAAUGGUCUUAUUCUUGCCCCCACUAUAAAAGGGGGUCUUCUUCACCAUUGCUCCUAGCAACUUUGAGCAAGCUUUCUCCUCCAUUAUUGACCUCUAAAAGCUUUGCUUUAUCUCUAUCCCUCCCAUGGUUCUUGCAUCAUUUUGAGGGGAAAGAGAUAGGAUAUCUAGAUUCUAUAUCUACAUUUCCACCAAUCCAUCUUACGUCUAAGUGAGGGGAACCCUUUGGAUCUAAAUCUUCGAGUUCUUUUGUGUUCUCCUUGUUCUUCCUCACAUAUUCCACCAUAGCUUUCGUUAAUUUGUGGGAUUUGAGAGAUGUGGGACUUGAGCACUUAGUGUGUUCUUGCCAUUACAUUAGUUGCAUCGGUUUGAGUUCUCCAUGAUGAUACAUGGAAGUGAAAGUCGAGAAGCUUACUAGUACCUUUUGGGUAUUUGGGUGUCCUAGAUGAUUGGUGGUGUCUCAAAGCUCAAUCAUUGUUGUGUAAAGCUUCGAGAAAGCUUUGGGGUCUCUAAUACGUCCAUUUUAUAUCAUGUUUUCCUACUACUAUUUCUAAUGCUUUAUAGCUAUAUUUCACCUUUGAUGCAAUUCCAAUGCCUUUUCUCUCUUAAUUGCCAGUUAUAUCACAAGAGGAAGAUUGCCGACAGCUGGAAUUCUGGACCUGAAAAGUGCUACAACAGAGAUAGCUAUUCUCUUGAGCUCCAAAUGACCUAAAUUUUUCCAAAGAUUUGUUUUGAAAUAUAUAAAAAAUACUAGAAGCAAAAUGCACUGAAGGGGACGCACUAGGGAGCUACAAGCUCGGGGGCGCGCCCACCCCCUGGGGUGCACCUGGUGAGCUUAUGAGUCCCACAGAAGGUCUAUGUGGCCCAUCGUCUCCUAUAUGAAGCCAUUUUCCCUAUAAAAAUAAUCAAGAGAAGACUUUUGGAACGAAGCGCCACCGUCUCGAGGCGGAACCUGGGCAGGAGCAAUUUUGCUCUGUGGCAAAGCGAUUCCACCGGGGAAACUUCCCUCUGGGAGGGGGAAAUCAAAGCCAUCAUCAUCAUCAACGUUCCUUUCAUCAUGGGAGGACUCAUCUCCGUCAACAUCUUCACUAGCACCAUCUCACUUCAAACCCUAGUUCAUCUCUUGUAUUCAAUCUUUGUCUCAAACCUCAGAGUGGUACAUGUGGGUUGCUAGUAGUGUUGAUUACAUCUUGUAGUUGAUUUACUUGGUGGAAGAUCAUAUCUUUAGAUUUUUAAUCAUAUAUUAUUCUCCUCUUAUCAUGAACAUGAAUAUGAUGUGUGAGUAGUUUCUUUUAUUCUUGAGGAAACAGGAGAAGUCUUGUUGUAAGUAAUCAUGUGAAGUUGGUUUUCAUUCAAUAUUUUGAUGAUGUGCUAUGUUGUUCUUCCUCUAGUGGUGUCAUGUGAAUGUCGACUACAUGUCACAUUAUCAUGUUUGAGCCUAGGGGAAGGCAUUGUGGGAUUAGUCAGUAGAUGAUGGGUUGCUAGAGUGAUAGAAGCUUAAAUCCUAGUUUAUGCGCUAUUUCGUAAGGGGCUGAUUUGGAUCCAUAUGUUUCAUGCUAUGGUUGGAUUUAUCUUAAUUCUUCUUUCGUAGUUGUGGAUGCUUGCGAGAGGGGAUAAGCAUAUCUAGAUUAAGGAUAUGGAUGUACUCAUAUAGAAAUUUAAUGGUAUUAAUUUUAUAAUUUGUUUGGACGUGUGUUAGUGGUUCUAAAAAGGAUGUGAAUACACACAUAUAGCAAAAAUAUAUACAUUAGCGGUUCCAAAGAAUUACGUUAAGGUACUCAUAUAUGAAUAUAUGGCUAGCAGUCCAUACCGUAUGAAACUAGUAUGCUUAAAGAUUAUCUAUGUCAACUCUUACUAAACAUUACAAGGUCCAAUUCUAGUCAAACAGCAAUGCUUCUAUAUCAAUUGCUAAUAAAUUUGGAUGUAUGGAUAAGGAUGAACUUUAACUAUCAUCCAUGUAUUCCAAAAAGUAUAAUUGACACCAAUGUUUCUUGUACACGAUUCUACAAAUCUCUCUAGCAAGUGGUCCCAACAUGCCAAUACAAACAUGAAACCUAGACAAUUUUUAGGGUCCUUGGGGUGAUACUUCUAUAUAAGGGGGGCACAUCUCCGCAUAUCUCCCACUAACAUGUCGUUAGCCAAUGGUUUUGGUAAAUCUCUAGCAUUUCGUAGAUUCUUGUUGCUCUUGUUUAUAGUAGUAAGUUUCAUUUUCUUCAUAGGAUUUAGUAUGCCAAGGAGGGAGAGGCGGUCAGGUGUCGCAUACAUCCAUGAUGACAAAGAGCGUGAUGGCUCCUUCUUCAAGAGGCGCAGUGGUUUGUUCAAGAGCGCUGCUAACCUCAAUGCCCUCACCGGUGCUAGGGUUGCUAUCAUCCUAGAGGGGAGCAAUGUUGUUAUGCUCUUUCAGACAAACCAUCCUACAAUGGAUUUCUUGGGAUGGAUGCUUAAUUGGGUAAUGAUGGUACUAAGUAGACAUUCUUCUAUAGGAAAUGGUGAAUGUGUUUAUGCGCAAUAGGAAUCUUCUUCCAGCGAGCAAGAUGUUGAUGCUUGGGUGCAAUCUGAAGGACUUAGUUAGAAGCUAGUUAGACUUACAUUUUAGUUUUAUAUCAGAAUGAAAGCUAGUUACAUUACCACCUGGAAAAUGUUACCAUUUGGACAUUUUACUAAGCCCCUUCCAGGCAAUAAUAUACAUGUUCAGUGUUGUAGGUCUUGGAACAUGGAAGUUUUUUUUCUAUGUGCCGCUUCAUAUUUUCAUUAUAAUCAAAUAUUUUAUUUUCUUUGUGAGAUGUUAUGUAUCUUAUGGGUGAAGGAAGAGGAAACCUUGAUUUAUAAUACCACCCCUCUUAGCAUAUUCUGAUCCAACCAUUAGUAAUUAACAGAAAAUGGGAGCUAUGCGGAGUAAGUAACUAAAAGGUAGCACAAGUUCAUAUUUCCACUCAAGCGACAAGCAUCAAUUGCUUUAAUUGCAUAAGUGUAUGAAAAAUAAGAACAACUCAAUAUGAGAUUCAUUUGAAAUCACGGUAAAUCAAUGUUUUAUUAAUAGAUGCCAAUGCUUUAUUGUCAUUAAAUUAAAACCAUAGUAUACCUGCGAGGACAUGGCGGCCACCUAAUUCUCCAUUUCAGUUUCAGUAGCAGGAAACAACAAAUUUAUGAAAUGAAUCUACUUUUGUUGCCUUCGUUGGUUUUUAUCCUUGAAUAAAAAGUGAUUUUUUUGUAAUGAUAUUGCUCAUCUAAUUAAUAAAUUAGACCAUCGGCCGAUUGCAUUAUGCAAUUGUUCUAAUCUUCUCACCGUUGAAAGAGCAUGGUGCCCCAAUGUUUGGUUUUUGUAAUUGAUGACAAUCUCUAUGGAUUAAUGGUUGCUUUGAGUUAUAUUUGAAAGGUUAUCCAUAGGCAAUGCUUGAAUACCAUAUGUUGGUUUCAAGGUUGAAAGAAGAAUAUUAUUUGUUGACCAAGGUGUUAUUCAUGGAGUUAUCCAAAGAUUGGUCCUGUAAGAGUUGAGUCUAUUGCAAGCAUGUCCUGAAAAAGAAGAUUAUGUGAACAUUCAUGUAGCCUUCAAUACAUCAUCUUUAUGAAGAGAGAGGAUAAGAUACAAGGUUGAUCAAGACUAAGUACAAAGAAUGGAUUCAAGUUGAUGAACACACAAAGCAUAGAAGAUGUACCGAGUCAAAUCAAGUGAUCUCACGGUAUGGUAAGCAUUGUCCAUUAUGCUUUGUGUAACACAUGAUCUAUUUGUGUGGUGUUCCUAUGUGGGGCUACUUUUUUUCCAUGGGCUUACAUCAAGAGGAAGAUAUCAGAUAACCCAUGGAGGAUGACAUCAUGUGGUGAUCGUCAUCAAUGUUAUGUUGAGCAAGUUCAAGUGGAGCAUCACAAAGAGAUCACAUGCUUGAAGCUUGCCAUCCAUUCUAGUGAUAAUGGACUUGUGAAGAUGUGCCAAAGAGAGGCUCACCCAUAGUGGAGUAUGGGGGAGCAAUAUAUUAGUCUUCAUCGAGCUAGCGCAAUCAGAAAGGUGGUCCAACGUGAGGAGGACGAGAUCAUCAUCAUCUAGCUCAAGUGGACUAUGUGCAAGGCAAAGGUUUGACCUUAAUAGGUUUUCUGUUUUACCGAUCUGAUGGUGUUAGUUGGGAGACCGGGUUGAAGGAUUGAUUCACGUACUAUCAAGGGGGCUCUCGAGUGAGUAGCUUGAUCGUAUCAUUCAUAGAGAGCUCAAACCAUUGCAUCAUCGGCAUCAUCUUUCUUGGUUCUUGUUUGGCUUUUCUCUAUGUGAGUUUUGGAGCUUGUGGUCAUCUCCAUGACAAGUUCAAGUUCAUCAAAAAUGGAUUUCAUAUGCAGCAUCUAUUGUGUUUUCGAUGUAGGAGUUUUUGCCAGUUCUUCACUCAUGUAUAUUUCACACCUAUCAAGUUUCAAUUCAUCAAAAUCAAAGUUCAUUUGCCGAAGGUAUGCCUGUUUUGGUCUUAAUUACUUGCAUUCAACUGUUGUGCUUUGGUAUUUUGGUAGAGGGCAAGCGUUCUGCUUGGGCUGAGCCUUCUGUUGCCCCUCAACAUUUCGCGGUAGUACCGCUUGCUACUGGUGGUAGUACUGCUUAUGCAGUACUUCCGCUGGUUGGUGUCGUGGCUACCUCUGGUUGUGUUUAGUCUUCUGUAUGCCUCUGGCAAUUUGCGGUAGUACCGCUGCUUCCAACGGUAGUACCGCUUGAUGUGGUUCUUCCGCUCUAGUGCCGCUUGAACUACUGCUAGUUUGUCUGUUAGCCUAUUGACAAUUAGUGGCAGUACCGCUUGCUGUAGCCGGUGGGACCGCUCCGGCAGAACUAGAAUGCGAGUACCACUAUGGUACUCGAUGAGCCUCAGUGAAACUGCCGCUCUUAGCGGUAGUACCGCUUGAGCAUGACCAGUGCAUAAUGGUUGUAUUCUUGCCCCCACUAUAAAAGGGGGUCUUCUUCACCAUUGCUACUAGCAACUUUGAGCAAGCUUUCUCCUCCAUUAUUGACCUCCAAAAUCUUUGCUUUACCUCUAUCCCUCCCAUGGUUCUUGCAUCAUUUUGAGGGGAAAGAGAGAGGAUAUCUAGAUUCUAUAUCUUCAUUUCCACUAAUCCAUCUUACGUCUAAGUGAGGGCAACCCUUUGGAUCUAAAUCUUCGAGUUCUUUUGUGUUCUCCUUGUUCUUCCUCACAUAUUCCUCCAUAGCUUUCGUUACUUUGUGGGAUUUGAGAGAUGUGGGACUUGAGCACUUAGUGUGUUCUUGCCAUUACAUUAGUUGCAUCGGUUCGAGUUCUCCAUGAUGAUACAUGGAAGUGAAAGUCGAGAAGCUUACUAGUACCUUUUGGGUAUUUGGGUGUCCUAGAUGAUUGGUGGUGUCACAAAGCUCAAUCAUUGUUGUGUAAAGCUUCGGGAAAGCUUUGGGGUCUCUAAUACGUCCAUUUUAUAUCAUGUUUUCCUACUACUAUUUCUAAUGGUUUAGAGCUAUAUUUCACCUUUGAUGCAAUUCCAAUGCCUUUUCUCUCUUAAUUGCCAGUUAUAUCACAAGAGGAAGAUUGCCGACAGCUGGAAUUCUGGACCUGAAAAGUGCUACAACAGAGAUAGCUAUUCUCUUGAGCUCCAAAUGACCUAAAUUUUUCCAAAGAUUUGUUUUGAAAUAUAUAAAAAAUACUAGAAGCAAAAUGCACUGGAGGGGACGCACUAGGGAGCUACAAGCUCGGGGGCGCGCCCACCCCCUGGGGCGCACCUGGUGAGCUUAUGGGUCCCACAGAAGGCCUAUGUGGCCCAUCGUCUCCUAUAUGAAGCCAUUUUCCCUAUAAAAAUAAUCAAGAGAAGACUUAGCGCCACCGUCUCGAGGCGGAACCUGGGCAGGAGCACUUUUGCUCUCUGGCAGAGCGAUUCCACCAGGGAAACUUCCCUCUGGGAGGGGGAAAUCAAAGCCAUCAUCAUCAUCAACAAUGUUCCUUUCAUCAUGGGAGGACUCAUCUCCGUCAACAUCUUCACUAGCACCAUCUCACUUCAAACCCUAGUUCAUCUCUUGUAUUCAAUCUUUGUCUCAAACCUCAGAGUGGUACAUGUGGGUUGCUAGUAGUGUUGAUUACAUCUUGUAGUUGAUUUACUUGGUGGAAGAUCAUAUCUUUAGAUUUUUAAUCAUAUAAUUCUCCUCUUAUCAUGAACAUGAAUAUGAUGUGUGAGUAGUUUCUUUUAUUCUUGAGGAAACAGGAGAAGUCUUGUUAUAAGUAAUCAUGUGAAGUUGGUUUUCAUUCAAUAUUUUGAUGAUGUGCUAUGUUGUUCUUCCUCUAGUGGUGUCAUGUGAAUGUCGACUACAUGUCACAUUAUCAUGUUUGAGCCUAGGGGAAGGCAUUGUGGGAUUAGUCAGUAGAUGAUGGGUUGCUAGAGUGAUAGAAGCUUAAAUCCUAGUUUAUGCGCUAUGUCGUAAGGAGCUGAUUUGGAUCCAUAUGUUUCAUGCUAUGGUUGGAUUUAUCUUAAUUCUUCUUUCGUAGUUGUGGAUGCUUGCGAGAGGGGAUAAGCAUAUCUAGAUUAAGGAUAUGGAUGUACUCAGAUAGAAAUUUAAUGGUAUUAAUUUUAUAAUUUGUUUGGACGUGUGUUAGUGGUUCUAAAAAGGAUGUGAAUACACACAUAUAGCAAAAAUAUAUACAUUAGUGGUUCCAAAGAAUUACGUUAAGGUACUCAUAUAUGAAUAUAUGGCUAGCAGUCAAUACCGUAUGAAACUAGUAUUCUUAAAGAUUAUCUAUGUCAACUCUUACAAAAGAUUACAAGGUCCAAUUCUAGUCAAACAGCAAUGCUUCUAUAUCAAUUGCUAAUAAAUUUGGAUGUAUGGAUAAGGAUGAACUUUAACUAUCGUCCAUGUAUUGCAAAAAGUAUAAUUGACACCAAUGUUUCUUGUACACGAUUCUACAAAUCUCUCUAGCAAGUUGUCCCAACAUGCCGAUACAAACAUGAAACCUAGACAAUUUUUAGGGUCCUUGGGGUGAUACUUCUAUAUAAGGGGGGCACAUCUCCGCAUAUCUCCCACUAACAUGUCGUUAGCCAAUGGUUUUGGUAAAUCUCUAGCAUUUCGUAGAUUCUUGUUGCUCUUGUUUAUAGUAGUAAGUUUCAUUUUCUUCAUAGGAUUUAGUAUGCCAAGGAGGGAGAGGCGGUCAGGUGUCGCAUACAUCCAUGAUGACAAAGAGCGUGAUGGCUCCUUCUUCAAGAGGCGCAGUGGUUUGUUCAAGAGCGCUGCUAACCUCAAUGCCCUCACCGGUGCUAGGGUUGCUAUCAUCCUAGAGGCGAGCAAUGGUGUUAUGCUAUUUCAGACAAACCAUCCUACAAUAGAUUUCUUGGGAUGGAUGCUUAAUUGGGUUAUGAUGGUACUAAGUAGACAUUCUUCUAUAGGAAAUGGUGAAUGUGUUUAUGCGCAAUAGGAAUCUUCUUCCAGCGAGCAAGAUGUUGAUGCUUGGGUGUAAUCUGAAGGACUUAGUUAGAAGCUAGUUAGACUUACAUUUUAGUUUUAUAUUGGAAUGAAAGCUAGUUACAUUACCACCUGGAAAAUGUUACCAUUUGGACAUUUUACUAAGCCCCUUCCAGGCAAUAAUAUACAUGUUCAGUGUUGUAGGUCUUGGAACAUGGAAGUUUUUUUUCUAUGUGCCGCUUCAUAUUUUCAUUAUAAUCAAAUAUUUUAUUUUCAUUUUGAGAUGUUAUGUAUCUUAUGGGUGAAGGAAGAGGAAACCUUGAUUUAUAAUACCACCCCUCUUAGCAUAUUCUGAUCCAACCAUUAGUAAUUAACAGAAAAUGGGAGCUAUGCGGAGUAAGUAACUAAAAGGUAGCACACGUUCAUAUUUCCACUCAAGCGACAAGCAUCAAUUGCUUUAAUUGCAUAAGAGUAUGAAAAAUAAGAACAACUUAAUAUGAGAUUCAUUUGAAAUCACGGUAAAUCAAUGUUUUAUUAAUAGAUGCCAAUGCUUUAUUGUCAUUAAAUUAAAACCAUAGUAUACCUGCGAGGACAUGGCGGCCACCUAAUUCUCCAUUUCAGUUUCAGUAGCAGGAAACAACAAAUUUAUGAAAUGAAUCUACUUUUGUUGCCUUCGUUGGAUUUUAUCCUUGAAUAAAAAGUGAUUUUUUUGUAAUGAUAUUGCUCAUGUAAUUAAUAAAUUAGACCCUUGGCAGAUUGCAUUAUGCAAUUGUUCUAAUCUUCUCACCGUUGAAAGAGCAUGGUGCCCCAAUGUUUGGUUUUUGUAAUUGAUGACAAUCUCUAUGAACUAAUGGUUGCUUUGAGUUAUAUUUGAAAGGUUAUCCAUAGGCAAUGCUUGAAUACCAUAUGUUGGUUUCAAGGUUGAAAGAAGAAUAUUAUUUGUUGACCAAAGUGUUAUUCAUGGAGUUAUCCAAAGAUUGGUCAUGUGAGAGUUGAGUCUAUUGCAAGCAUGUCUUGAAAAAGAAGAUUAUGUGAACAUUCAUGUUGCCUUCAAUACAUCAUCUUUAUGAAGAGAGAAGAUAAGAUACAAGGUUGAUCAAGACUAAGUACUAAGAAUGGAUUCAAGUUGAUGAACACACAAAGCAUAGAAGAUGUACCGAGUCAAAUCAAGUGAUCUCACGGUAUGGUAAGCAUUGUCCAUUAUGCUUUGUGUAACCCAUGAUCUAUUUGUGUGGUGUUCCUAUGUGGGGCUACUUUUUUUCCAUGGGCUUACAUCAAGAGGAAGAUAUCAGAUAACCCAUGGAGGAUGACAUCAUGUGGUGAUCGUCAUCAAUGUUGUGUUGAGCAAGUUCAAGUGGAGCAUCACAAAGAGAUCACAUGCUUGAAGCUUGCCAUCCAUUCUGGUGAUAAUGGACUUGUGAAGAUGUGCCAAAGAGAGGCUCACCCAUAGUGGAGUAUGGGGGAGCAAUAUAUUAGUCUUCAUCGAGCUAGCACAAUCAGAAAGGUGGUCCAACGUGACGAGGGCAAGAUCAUCAUCAUCUAGCUCAAGUGGACUAUGCGCAAGGCAAAGGUUUGACCUUAAUAGGUUUUCUGUUUUACCGAUCUGAUGGUGUUAGUUGGGAGACCGGGUUGAAGGAUUGAUUCACGUACUAUCAAGGGGGCUCUCGAGUGAGUAGCUUGAUCGUAUCAUUCAUAGAGAGCUCAAACCAUUGCAUCAUCGGCAUCAUCUUUCUUGGUUCUUGUUUGGCUUUUCUCUAUGUGAGUUUUGGAGCUUGUGGUCAUCUCCGUGACAAGUUCAAGUUCAUCAAAAAUGGAUUUCAUAUGCAGCAUCUAUUGUGUUUUCGAUGUAGGAGUUUUUGCCAGUUCUUCACUCAUGUAUAUUUCACACCUAUCAAGUUUCAAUUCAUCAAAAUCAAAGUUCAUUUGCCGAAGGUAUGCCUGUUUUGGUCUUAAUUACUUGCAUUCAACUGUUGUGCUUUGGUAUUUUGGUAGAGGGCAAGCGUUCCGCUUGGGCUGAGCCUUCUGUUGCCCCUCAACAUUUCGCGGUAGUACCGCUUGCUACUGGUGGUAGUACUGCUUAUGCAGUACUUCCGCUGGUUGGUGCCGUGGCUACCUCUGGUUGUGUUUAGUCUUCUGUAUGCCUCCGGCAAUUCGCGGUAGUACCGCUGCUUCCAACGGUAGUACCGCUUGAUGCGGUUCUUCCGCUCUGGCGCCGCUUGAACUACUGCUGGUUUGUCUGUUAGCCUAUUGACAAUUCGCGGCAGUACCGCUUGCUGUAGCCGGUGGGACCGCUCCGGCAGAACUAGAAUGCGAGUAACACUAUGGUACUCGAUGAGCCUUAGUGAAACUGCCGCUCUUAGUGGUAGUACUGCUUGAGCAUGACCAGUGCAUACUGGUCUUAUUCUUGCCCCCACUAUAAAAGGGGGUCUUCUUCACCAUUGCUCCUAGCAACUUUGAGCAAGCUUUCUCCUCCAUUAUUGACCUCCAAAAGCUUUGCUUUAUCUCCAUCCCUCCCAUGGUUCUUGCAUCAUUUUGAGGGGAGAGAGAGAGGAUAUCUAGAUUCUAUAUCUACAUUUCCACCAACCCAUCUUACGUAUAAGUGAGGGGAACCCUUUGGAUCUAAAUCUUCGAGUUCUUUUGUGUUCUCCUUGUUCUUCCUCACAUAUUCCUCUAUAGCUUUCGUUACUUUGUGGGAUUUGAGUGAUGUGGGACUUGAGCACUUAGUGUGUUCUUGCCAUUGCAUUAGUUGCAUCGGUUUGAGUUCUCCAUGGUGAUACAUGGAAGUGAAAGUCGAGAAGCUUACUAGUACCUUUUGGGUAUUUGGGUGUCCUAGAUGAUUGGUGGUGUCGCAAAGCUCAAUCAUUGUUGUGUAAAGCUUCGGGAAAGCUUUGGGGUCUCUAAUACGUCCAUUUUAUAUCAUGUUUUCCUACUACUAUUUCUAAUGGUUUAGAGCUAUAUUUCACCUUUGAUGCAAUUCCAAUGCCUUUUCUCUCUUAAUUGCCAGUUAUAUCACAAGAGGAAGAUUGCCGACAGCUGGAAUUCUGGACCUGAAAAGUGCUACAACAGAGAUAGCUAUUCUCUUGAGCUCCAAAUGACCUAAAUUUUUCCAAAGAUUUGUUUUGAAAUAUAUAAAAAAUACUAGAAGCAAAUUGCACUGGAGGGGACGCACUAGGGAGCUACAAGCUCGGUGGCGCGCCCACCCCCUGGGGCGCACCUGGUGAGCUUAUGGGUCCCACAGAAGGCCUAUGUGGCCCAUCGUCUCCUAUAUGAAGCCAUUUUCCCUAUAAAAAUAAUCAAGAGAAGACUUAGCGCCAUCGUCUCGAGGCGGAACCUGGGCAGGAGCACUUUUGCUCUCUGGCAGAGUGAUUCCACCGGGGAAACUUCCCUCUGGGAGGGGCAAAUCAAAGCCAUCAUCAUCAUCAACAACGUUCCUUUCAUCAUGGGAGGACUCAUCUCCGUCAACAUCUUCACUAGAACCAUCUCACUUCAAACCCUAGUUCAUCUCUUGUAUUCAAUCUUUGUCUCAAACCUCAGAGUGGUACAUGUGGGUUGCUAGUAGUGUUGAUUACAUCUUGUAGUUGAUUUACUUGGUGGAAGAUCAUAUCUUUAGAUUUUUAAUCAUAUAUUAUUCUCCUCUUAUCAUGAACAUGAAUAUGAUGUGUGAGUAGUUUCUUUUAUUCUUGAGGAAACGGGAGAAGUCUUGUUAUAAGUAAUCAUGUGAAGUUGGUUUUCAUUAAAUAUUUUGAUAAUGUGCUAUGUUGUUCUUCCUCUAUCGGUGUCAUGUGAAUGUCGACUACAUGUCACAUUAUCAUGUUUGAGCCUAGGGGAAGGCAUUGUGGGAUUAGUCAGUAGAUGAUGGGUUGCUAGAGUGAUAGAAGCUUAAAUCCUAGUUUAUGCGCUAUUUCGUAAGGGGCUGAUUUGGAUCCAUAUGUUUCAUGCUAUGGUUGGAUUUAUCUUAAUUCUUCUUUCGUAGUUGUGGAUGCUUGCGAGAGGGGAUAAGCAUAUCUAGAUUAAGGAUAUGGAUGUACUCAGAUAGAAAUUUAAUGUUAUUAAUUUUAUAAUUUGUUUGGACGUGUGUAGUGGUUCUAAAAAGGAUGUGAAUACACACAUAUAGCAAAAAUAUAUACAUUAGCGGUUCCAAAGAAUUACGUUAAGGUACUCAUAUAUGAAUAUAUGGCUAGCAGUCAAUACCGUAUGAAACUAGUAUGCUUAAAGAUUAUCUAUGUCAACUCUUACUAAAGAUUACAAGGUCCAAUUCUAGUCAAACAGCAAUGCUUCUAUAUCAAUUGCUAAUAAAUUUGGAUGUAUGGAUAAGGAUGAACUUUAACUAUCAUCCAUGUAUUCCAAAAAGUAUAAUUGACACCAUUGUUUCUUGUACACGAUUCUACAAAUCUCUCUAGCAAGUGGUCCCAACAUGCCGAUACAAACAUGAAACCUAGACAAUUUUUAGGGUCCGUGGGGUGAUACUUCUAUAUAAGGGGGGCACAUCUCCGCAUAUCUCCCACUAACAUGUCGUUAGCCAAUGGUUUUGGUAAAUCUCUAGCAUUUCGUAGAUUCUUGUUGCUCUUGUUUAUAGUAGUAAGUUUCAUUUUCUUCAUAGGAUUUAGUAUGCCAAGGAGGAAGAGGCGGUCAGGUGUCGCAUACAUCCAUGAUGACAAAGAGCGUGAUGGCUCCUUCUUCAAGAGGCGCAGUGGUUUGUUCAAGAGCGCUGCUAACCUCAAUGCCCUCACCGGUGCUAGGGUUGCUAUCAUCCUAGAGGCGAGCAAUGGUGUUAUGCUCUUUCAGACAAACCAUCCUACAAUGGAUUUCUUGGGAUGGAUGCUUAAUUGGGUUAUGAUGGUACUAAGUAGACAUUCUUCUAUAGGAAAUGGUGAAUGUGUUUAUGCGCAAUAGGAAUCUUCUUCCAGCGAGCAAGAUGUUGAUGCUUGGGUGCAAUCUGAAGGACUUAGUUAGAAGCUAGUUAGACUUACAUUUUAGUUUUAUAUCGGAAUGAAAGCUAGUUACAUUACCACCUGGAAAAUGUUACCAUUUGGACAUUUUACUAAGCCCCUUCCAGGCAAUAAUAUACAUGUUCAGUGUUGUAGGUCUUGGAACAUAGAAGUUUUUUUUCUAUGUGCCGCUUCAUAUUUUCAUUAUAAUCAAAUAUUUUAUUUUCUUUUUGAGAUGUUAUGUAUCUUAUGGGUGAAGGAAGAGGAAACCUUGAUUUAUAAUACCACCCCUCUUAGCAUAUUCUGAUCCAACCAUUAGUAAUUAACAGAAAAUGGGAGCUAUGCGGAGUAAGUAACUAAAAGGUAGGACAAGUUCAUAUUUCCACUCAAGCGACAAGCAUCAAUUGCUUUAAUUGCAUAAGAGUAUGAAAAAUAAGAACAACUCAAUAUGAGAUUCAUUUGAAAUCACGGUAAAUCAAUGUUUUAUUAAUAGAUGCCAAUGCUUUAUUGUCAUUAAAUUAAAACCAUAGUAUACCUACGAGGACAUGGCGGCCACCUAAUUCUCCAUUUCAGUUUCAGUAGCAGGAAACAACAAAUUUAUGAAAUGAAUCUACUUUUGUUGCCUUCGUUGGUUUUUAUCCUUGAAUAAAAAGUGAUUUUUUUUGUAAUGAUAUUGCUCAUCUAAUUAAUAAAUUAGACCCUCGGCAGAUUGCAUUAUGCAAUUGUUCUAAUCUUCUCACCGUUGAAGGAAGAAUAUUAUUUGUUGACCAAUGUGUUAUUCAUGGAGUUAUCCAAAGAUUGGUCAUGUGAGAGUUGAGUCUAUUGCAAGCAUGUCUUGAAAAAGAAGAUUAUGUGAACAUUCAUGUUGCCUUCAAUACAUCAUCUUUAUGAAGAGAGAAGAUAAGAUACAAGGUUGAUCAAGACUAAGUACAAAGAAUGGAUUCAAGUUGAUGAACACACAAAGCAUAGAAGAUGUAACGAGUCGAAUCAAGUGAUCUCACGGUAUGGUAAGCAUUGUCCAUUAUGCUUUGUGUAACCCAUUAUCUAUUUGUGUGGUGUUCCUAUGUGGGGCUAGUUUUUUUCCAUGGGCUUACAUCAAGAGGAAGAUAUCAGAUAACCCAUGGAGGAUGACAUCAUGUGGUGAUCAUUAUCAAUGUUGUGUUGUGCAAGUUCAAGUGGAGCAUCACAAAGAGAUCACAUGCUUGAAGCUUGCCAUCCAUUCUGGUGAUAAUGGACUUGUGAAGAUGUGCCAAAGAGAGGCUCGCUCAUAGUGGAGUAUGGGGGAGCAAUAUAUUAGUCUUCAUCGAGCUAGCGCAAUCAGAAAGGUGGUCCAACAUGACGAGGACGAGAUCAUCAUCAUCUAGCUCAAGUGGACUAUGCGCAAGGCAAAGGUUUGACCUUAAUAGGUUUUCUAUUUUACCGAUCUGAUGGUGUUAGUUGGGAGACCGGGUUGAAGGAUUGAUUCACGUACUAUCAAGGGGGCUCUCGAGUGAGUAGCUUGAUUGUAUCAUUCAUAGAGAGCUCAAACCAUUGCAUCAUUGGCAUCAUCCUUCUUGGUUCUUGUUUGGCUUUUCUCUAUGUGAGUUUUGGAGCUUGUGGUCAUCUCCGUGACAAGUUCAAGUUCAUCGAAAAUAGAUUUCAUAUGCAGCAUCUAUUGUGUUUUCGAUGUAGGAGUUUUUGCCAGUUCUUCACUCAUGUAUAUUUCACACCUCUAUUGUGAUUUGACAACUCUUGUUGUUAGCUUUCUAUCAAGUUUCAAUUCAUCAAAAUCAAAGUUCAUUUGCCGAAGGUAUGCCUGUUUUGGUCUUAAUUACUUGCAUUCAACUGUUGUGCUUUGGUAUUUUGGUAGAGGGCAAGCGUUCCGCUUGGGCUGAGCCUUCUGUUGCCCCUCAACAUUUCGCGGUAGUACCGCUUGCUACUGGUGGUAGUACUGCUUAUGCAGUACUUUCGCUUUUUGGGGAACGUAGUAAUUUCAAAAAAAAUCCUACGCACACGCAAGAUCAUGGUGAUGCAUAGCAACGAGAGGGGAGAGUAAUGUCCACGCACCCUCGUAGACUGUAAGCGGAAGCGUUAUGACAACGCGGUUGAUGUAGUCGUACGUCUUCGCGAUCUGACCGAUCCAAGUACCGAACGUACGGUACCUCCGAGUUCAGCACACGUUCAGCUCGAUGACGAUCCCCAGACUCCGAUCCAGCAAAGUGUCGGGGAUGAGUUCCGUCAGCAUGACAGCGUGGUGACGAUGAUGAUGUUCUACCGGCGCAGGGCUUCGCCUAAACUCCACGACGAUAUGACCGAUGUGGAAUAUGGUGGAGGGGGGCAACGCACACGGCUAAGGAACGAUCACGUAGAUCAACUUGUGUGUUCUAGGGUGCCCCCCUGCCCCCGUAUAUAAAGCAGGGAGGGGGAGGUGCGGCCGGCCCCCAAGGGGUGCGCCUGGAGGAGUCCUACUCCCACCGGGAGUAGGACUCCCCCCUCUUGCCUUGGUGGAGAAGAAAAAGGGGGGAGGGGAAAGAGGAAAGGGGGGCGCCGCCGCCCCCCCCCCUUGCUUGUCCUAUUCGGACUAGGGGGGAGGGGGCGCGCGGCCUGCCCUGGCCGGCCCUCCUCUUCUCCCUCAUGGCCCAUGUAGGCCCAAUAACCCCCGGGGGGGGUUCCGGUAACCCCUCGGUACUCCGGAAAAAUCCCGGUUUCUCCCGGAACGAUUCCGAUAUCCAAAUAUAGGCUUCCAAUAUAUCAAUCAUUAUGUCUCGACCAUUUCGAGACUCCUCGUCAUGUCCUGGAUCACAUCCGGGACUCCGAACAACCUUCGGUACAUCCAAAUAUAUAAACUCAUAAUAAAACUGUCAUCGUAACGUUAAGCGUGCGGACCCUACGGGUUCGAGAACUAUGUAGACAUGACCUACAACUAUUCUCGGUCAAUAACCAAUAGCGGAACCUAGAUGCUCAUAUUGGCUCCUACAUAUUCUACGAAGAUCUUUAUCGAUCAAACCGCAUAACAACAUACGUUGUUCCCUUUGUCAUCGGUAUGUUACUUGUCCGAGAUUCGAUCGUCGGUAUCUUAAUACCUAGUUCAAUCUCAUUACCGGCAAGUCUCUUUACUCGUUAUGUAAUGCAUCAUCCCGCAACUAACUCAUUAGUCACAUUGCUUGCAAGGCUUAUAGUGAUGUGCAUUACCGAGAGGGCCCAGAGAUACCUCUCCGACAAUCGGAGUGACAAAUUCUAAUCUCGAAAUACGCCAACCCAACAUGUACCUUUGGAGACACCUGUAGAGCUCCUUUAUAAUCACCCAGUUAUGUUGUGACGUUUGGUAGCACACAAAGUGUUCCUCUGGUAAACGGGAGUUGCAUAAUCUCAUAGUCAUAGGAACAUGUAUAAGUCAUGAAGAAAGCAAUAGCAACAUACUAUACGAUCAAGUGCUAAGCUAACGGAAUGGGUCAAGUCAAUCACAUCAUUCUCCUAAUGAUGUGAUCCCGUUAAUCAAAUGACAACUCUUUGUCCAUGGCUAGGAAACAUAACCAUCUUUGAUGAACGAGCUAGUCAAGUAGAGGCGUACUAGUGACACUAUGUUUGUCUAUGUAUUCACACAUGUAUUAUGUUUCCGGUUAAUACAAUUCUAGCAUGAAUAAUAAACAUUUAUCAUGAUAUAAGGAAAUAAAUAAUAACUUUAUUAUUGCCUCUAGGGCAUAUUUCCUUCAGUCUCCCACUUGCACUAGAGUCAAUUAUCUAGUUCACAUCAUCAUGUGAUUCAACACUAAUAUUCACAUCUGUAUGUGAUUAACACCCAUAGUUCACAUCGUCAUGUGACCAACACCCAAAGGGUUUACUAGAGUCAAUAAUCUAGUUCACAUCGCUAUGUGAUUAACACCCAAAGAGUACUAAGGUAUGAUCAUGUUUUGCUCGUGAGAGAAGCUUAGUCAACGGGUCUGUCACAUUUAGAGCCGUAUGUAUUUUGCAAAAUAUUCUAUGUCUACAAUGCUCUGUAUGGAGCUACUCUAGCUAAUUGCUCCCACUUUCAAUAUGUAUCCAGAUUGAGACUUAGAGUCAUCUGGAUCAGUGUAAAAGUUUGCAUCGAUGUAACUUUUACAACGAACUCUUUUAUCACCUCCAUAAUCGAGAAACAUCUCCUUAGUCCUCACUAAGGAUAUUCUUGACCGCUGUCCAGUGAUCUACUAUUAGAUAAAAAUUGUAUUCCUCCGCCAAACUCAGAGCAAGGUAUACAAUAGUUCUGGUUCACAGCAUUGCAUACUUUAUAGAACCUAUGACUGAGGCAUAGGGAAUGACUUUUUCAUUCUCUUUCUAUUUUCUGCCAUGGUCGGGUCUUGAGUCUUACUCAACUUCACACCUUGCAACACAGGCAAGAACUCCUUCUUUGACUGUUCCAUUUUGAACUAUUUCAAAAAAUUUAUCAAGGUAUGUACUCAUUGAAAAAUCUUAUAAAGCGUCUGGAUCUAUCUAUAUAGAUCUUGAUGCUCAAUGUGUAAGCAGCUUCACCGAGGUCUUGCUUUGAAAUACUCUUAUUCAAGUAUCCUUUCAUGCUAUCCAGAAUUUCUAUAUCAUUUCCAAUCAACAAUAUGUCAUCCACAUAUAAUAUUAGAAAUGCUACAGAGCUCCCACUCACUUUCUUGUAAAUACAGGCUUCUUCAAAAGUCUGUAUAAAACCAUAUGCUUCGAUCAACUCAUCAAGCAUAUAUUCCAACUCCGAGAUGCUUGCACAAGUCCAUAGAUGGAUCGCUGGAGCUUGCACAUUUUGUUAGCACCUUUAGGAUUGACAAAACCUUCUGGUUGCAUCAUAUACAACUCUUCUUUAAGAAAACCAUUAAGGAAUGCAGUUUUGACAUCCAUUUGCCAGAUUUCAUAAAAUGUGGCAAUUGCUAACAUGAUUCGGACAGACUUAAGCAUCGCUACAGUUGAGAAAAUCUCAUUGUAGUCAACACCUUGAACUUGUCGAAAACCUUUUUGCGACAAGUCGAGCUUUGUAUAUAAUAACACUACUAUCAGCAUCUGUCUUCCUCUUGAAGAUCCGUUUAUACAAUAUGGCUUGCCGAUCAUCGGGCAACUCCACCAAAGUCCACACUUUGUUCUCAUACAUGGAUCCCAUCUCAGAUUUCAUGGCCUCAAGCCAUUUCGCAGAAUCUGGGCUCAUCACCGCUUCCUCAUAGUUCGUAGGUUUAUCAUGGUCUAGUAACAUGACUUCCAGAAUAGGAUUACCGUACCACUCUGGUGCAGAUCUCACUCUGGUUUACCUACGACGUUAGGUAGCAACUUGAUCUGAAGUUUCAUGAUCAUCAUCAUUAACUUCCUCACUAAUUGGUGUAGGAAUCACUGGAACUGAUUUCUGUGAUGAACUACUUUCCAAUAAGGGAGAAGGUACAAUUACCUCAUCAAGUUCUACUUUCCUUCCACUCACUUCUUUCGAGAGAAACUUCUUCUCUAGAAAGGAUCCAUCUUUGCAACGAAUAACUAGCCUUCGGAUCUGUGAUAGAAGGUGUACCCAAUAGUUACCUUUGGGUAUUCUAUGAAGACGCACUUUUCCGAUUUGGGUUCGAGCUUAUCAGGUUGAAACCUUUUCAUAUAAGCAUCGCAACUCCAAGCUUUAAGAAGCGACAGCUUAGGUUUACUGCUAAACCAUAGUUCAUACGGUGUCAUCUCAACGGAUUUAGAUGGUGCCCUAUUGAACGUGAAUGCAGCUGUCUGUAAUGCAUAACCCCAAAACGAUAGUGGUAAACCGAUAAGAGACAUCAUAGAUCGCACCAUAUCUAGUAAAGUACGAUUACGACGUUCGGACACACCAUUACAUUGUGGUGUUCCAGGUGGCGUGAGUGCCGAAACUAUUUCACAUUGUUUCAAAUGAAGACCAAACUCGUAACUCAAAUAUUCAUCUCCAUGAUCAGAUCGUAGAAACUUUAUUUUCUUGUUACGAUGAUUUUCCACUUCACUCUGAAAUUCUUUGAACCUUUCAACUAUUUCAGACUUAUGUUUCAUCAAGUAGAUAUACCCAUAUCUGCUCAAAUCAUCUGUGAAGGUUAGAAAAUAACGAUACCCGCCACGAGACUUAAUACUCAUUGGUCUGCAUACAUCAGUAUGUAUUAUUUCCAACAAGUUUGUUGCUCAUUCCAUUGUUCCGGAGAAUGGAGUUUUAGUCAUCUUGCCCAAAAGGCACGGUUCACAAGCAUCAAAUGAUUCAUAACCAAGUGAUUUCAAAAGCCCAUCUUUAUGGAGUUUCUUCAUGCGCUUUACACCGAUAUGACCCAAACGGCAGUGCCACAAAUAAGUUGCACUAUCAUUAUUAACUUUGCAUCUUUUGGCAUCAAUAUUAUGAAUAUGUGUACCACUAUGAUCGAGAUCCAACAAACUAUUUUCAUUGGGUGUAUGACCAUUUGAAGGUUUUAUUCAUGUAAACAGAAUAACAAUUUAUUCUCUGUUUUAGAUGAAUAAUCGUAUCGCAAUAAACAUGAUCUAAUCAUAUUUAUGCUCAACGCAAACACCAAAUAACAAUUAUUUAGGUUCAACACUAAUCUCGAAAAUAUAGGGAGUGUACGAUGAUGAUCAUAUCAAUUUUGGAAGCACUUCCAACACACAUCGUUACUUCACCCUCAACUAGUCUCUGUUUAUUCUGUAACUCCUGUUUCGAGUUACUAAUCUUAGCAACCGAACAAGUAUCAAAUACUCAGGUGCUACUAUAAACACUAGUAAAGUACACAUCAAUAACAUGUAUAUCAAAUAUACCUUUGUUCACUUUGCCAUCCUUUUUAUCCGCCAAAUACUUGGGGCAGUUUCGCUUCCAGUGACCAGUUCCUUUGCAGUAGAAGCACUCAGUCUCAGGCUUAGGUCCAGACUUGGGCUUCUUCAUUUGAGCAGCAACUUGCUUGCCAUUCUUCUUGAAGUUCCCCUUCUUCCCUUGGCCCUUUUCUUGAAACUAGUGGUCUUGUUAACUAUCAACACUUGAUGUUUUUCUUGAUUUCUACCUUCGUCGAUUUCAGCAUCAUGAAGAGCUUGGGAAUUACUUUUGUCAUCCCUUGCAUAUUAUAGUUUCAUCACGAAGUUCUACUAACUUGGUGAUGGUGACUAGAGAAUUCUGUCAAUCACUAUCUUAUCUGGAAGAUUAACUCCCACUUGAUUCAAGCGAUUGAAGUAAACAAUCUGAACACAUGCUCACUAGUUGAGCGAUUCUCCUCCAUCUUUUAGCUAUAGAACUUGUUGAAGACUUCAUAUCUCUCAACUCGGGUAUUUGCUUGAAAUAUUAACUUCAAUUCCUGGAACAUCUCAUAUGGUCCAUGACGUUCAAAACGUCUUUGAAGUCCCGAUUCUAAGCCGUUAAGCAUGGUGCACUAAACUAUCAAGUAGUCAUCAUAUUGAGCUAGCCAAACAUUCAUAAUGUCUGCAUCUGCUCCUGCAAUAGGUCUGUCACCUAGCGGUGCAUCAAGGACAUAAUUCUUCUGUGCAUCAAUGAGGAUAAACCUCAGAUCGUGGAUCCAAUCCGCAUCAUUGCUACUAACAUUUUUCAACAUAAUUUUUCUCUAGGAACAUAUAGGAAAACAUAAGGAAGCAAAAACAUAGAGAAGCAACAACGCGAGCUAUUGAUCUACAACAUAAUUUGCAAAAUACUACCAGGACUAAGUUCAUGAUAAAUUAAAGUUCAAUUAAUCAUAUUACUUAAGAACUCCCACUUAGACAGACAUCUCUCUAGUCAUCUAAGUGAUCACGUGAUCCAAAUCAACUAAACCAUGUCCAAUCAUCACGUGAGAUGGAGUAGUUUCAAUGGUGAACAUCACUAUGUUGAUCAUAUCUACUAUAUGAUUCACGCUCGACCUUUCGGUCUCCGUGUUCCGAGGACAUAUCUGUUAUAUGCUAGGCUCGUCAAGUUUAACCUGAGUAUUCCGCGUGUGCAACUGUUUUGCACCCGCUGUAUUUGAACGUAGAGCCUAUCACACCCGAUCAUCACGUGGUGUCUCAGCACGAAGAAUUUUUGCAACGGUGCAUACUCAGGGAGAACACUUCUUGAUAAUUUUAGUGAGAGAUCGUCUUAAAAUGCUACCGUCAAUCAAAGCAAGAUAAGAUGCAUAAAGGAUAAACAUCACAUGCAAUCAAUAUAAGUGAUAUGAUAUGGCCAUCAUCAUCUUGUGCUUGUGAUCUCCAUCUCCGAAGCACCGUCGUGAUCACCAUCGUCACCGGUGCGACACCUUGAUCUCCAUCGUAGCAUCGUUGUCGUUACGCCAUCUAUUGCUUCUACGACUAUCGCUACCGCUUAGUGAUAAAGUAAAGCAAUUACAGGGCGUUUGCAUUUCAUACAAUAAAGCGACAACCAUAUGGCUCCUGCCAGUUGCCGAUAACUUCGGUUACAAAACAUGAUCAUCUCAUACAAUAAAAUAUAGCAUCACGUCUUGACCAUAUCACAUCACAACAUGCCCUGCAAAAACAAGUUAGACGUCCUCUACUUUGUUGUUGCAAAUUUUACGUGGCUGCUACGGGCUAAGCAAGAACCGUUCUUACCUACGCAUCAAAACCACAACGAUAGUUCGUCAAGUUAGUGCUGUUUUAACCUUCGCAAGGACCGGGCGUAGCCACACUCGGUUUCAACUAAAGUUGGAGAAACAGACACCCGCCAGCCACCUGUGUGCAAAGCACGUCGGUAGAACCAGUCUCGUGUAAGCGUACGCGUAAUGUCGGUCAGGGCCGCUUCAUCCAACAAUACCGCUGAACCAAAGUAUGACAUGCUGGUAAGCAGUAUGACUUGUAUCACCCACAACUCACUUGUGUUCUACUCGUGCAUAUAACAUCAACGCAUAAAACCUAGGCUCGGAUGCCACUGUUGGGGAACGUAGUAAUUUCAAAAAAAUUCCUACGCACACGCAAGAUCAUGGUGAUGCAUAGCAACGAGAGGGGAGAGUAAUGUCCACGCACCCUCGUAGACCGUAAGAGGAAGCGUUAUGACAACGCGGUUGAUGUAGUCGUACGUCUUCGCGAUCCGACCGAUCCAAGUACCGAAUGUACGGUACCUCCGAGUUCAGCACACGUUCAGCUCGAUGAUGAUCCCCGGACUCCGAUCCAGCAAAGUGUCGGGGAUGAGUUCCGUCAACACGACAGCAUGGUGACGAUGAUGAUGUUCUACCGGCGCAGGGCUUCGCCUAAACUCCGUGACGAUAUGACCGAUGUGGAAUAUGGUGGAGGGGGCACCGUACACGGCUAAGGAACGAUCACGUAGAUCAACUUGUGUGUUCUAGGGUGCCCCCCUGCCCCCGUAUAUAAAGGAGGGAGGGGGAGGUGCGGCCGGCCCCCAAGGGGUGCGCCUGGAGGAGUCCUACUCCCACCAGGAGUAGGACUCCCCCCUCUUACCUUGGUGGAGAAGAAAAAGGGGGGAGGGGAAAGAGGAAAGGGGGGCGCCCCCCCCCCUUCCUUGUCCUAUUCGGACUAGAGGGGGAGGGGGCGUGCGGCCUGCCCUGGCCGGCCCUCCUCUUCUCCCUCAUGGCCCAUGUAGGCCCAAUAACCCCCGGGGGGUUCCGGUAACCCCCCGGUACUCCGGAAAAAUCCCGGUUUCUCCCGGAACGAUUCCGAUAUCCAAAUAUAGGCUUCCAAUAUAUCAAUCUUUAUGUCUCGACCAUUUCGAGACUCCUCGUCAUGUCUUGGGUCACAUCCGGGACUCCGAACAACCUUCGGUACAUCAAAAUAUAUAAACUCAUAAUAAAACUGUCAUCGUAACGUUAAGCGUGCGGACCCGACGGGUUCGAGAACUAUGUAGACAUGAACUAGAACUAUUCUUGGUCAAUAAACAAUAGCAGAACCUGGACGCUCAUAUUGGCUCCUACAUAUUCUACGAAGAUCUUUAUCGGUCAAACCGCAUAACAACAUACGUUGUUCCCUUUGUCAUCGGUAUGUUACUUGUCCGAGAUUCGAUCGUCGGUAUCUUAAUACCUAGUUCAAUCUCGUUACCGGCAAGUCUCUUUACUCGUUAUGUAAUGCAUCAUCCCGCAACUAACUCAUUAGUCACAUUGCUUGCAAGGCUUCUAGUGAUGUGCAUUACCGAGAGGGCCCAGAGAUACCUCUCCGACAAUCGGAGUGACAAAUUCUAAUCUCGAAAUACGCCAACCCAACAUGUACCUUUGGAGACACCUGUAGAGCUCCUUUAUAAUCACCCAGUUACGUUGUGACGUUUGGUAGCACACAAAGUGUUCCUACGGUAAACGGGAGUUGCAUAAUCUCAUAGUCAUAGGAACAUGUAUAAGUCAUGAAGAAAGCAAUAGCAACAUACUAUACGAUCAAGUGCUAAGCUAACGGAAUAGGUCAAGUCAAUCACAUCAUUCUCCUAAUGAUGUGAUCCUGUUAAUCAAAUGACAACUCUUUGUCCAUGGCUAGGAAACAUAACCAUCUAUGAUGAACGAGCUAGUCAAGUAGAGGCAUACUAGUGACACUAUGUUUGUCUAUGUAUUCACACAUGUAUUAUGUUUCCGGUUAAUACAAUUCUAGCAUGAAUAAUAAACAUUUAUCAUGAUAUAAGGAAAUAAAUAAUAACUUUAUUAUUGCCUCUAGGGCAUAUUUCCUUCACCGCUGGUUGGUGCCGUGGCUACCUCUGGUUGUGUUUAGUCUUCUGUAUGGCUCUGGCAAUUCGCGGUAGUACCGCUGCUUCCAACGGUAGUACCGCUUGAUGCGGUUCUUGCGCUCUGGCGUCGCUUGAACUACUGCUGGUUUGUCUGUUAGCCUAUUGACAAUUAGCGGCAGUACCGCUUGCUGUAGCCGGUGGGACCGCUCCGGCAGAACUAGAAUGCGAGUACCACUGUGGUACUCGAUGAGCCUCAGUGAAACUGCCGCUCUUAGCGGUAGUACCGCUUGAGCAUGACCAGUGCAUAAUGGUUGUAUUCUUUCCCCCACUAUAAAACGGGGUCUUCUUCACCAUUACUCCUAGCAACUUUGAGCAAGCCUUCUUCACCAUCCCUCCCAUGGUUCUUGCAUCAUUUUGAGGGGAAAGAGAGAGGAUAUCUAGAUUCUAUAUCUACAUUUCCACCAAUCCAUCUUACGUCUAAGUGAGGGGAACCCUUUGGAUCUAAAUCUUUGAGUUCUUUUGUGUUCUCCUUGUUCUUCCUCACAUAUUCCUCCAUAGCUUUCGUUGCUUUGUGGGAUUUGAGAGAUGUGGGACUUGAGCACUUAGUGUGUUCUUGCCAUUGCAUUAGUUGCAUCGGUUUGAGUUCUCCACGGUGAUACGUGGAAGUGAAAGUCGAGAAGCUUAAUAGUACCUUUUGGGUAUUUGGGUGUCCUAGAUGCUUGGUGGUGUCGCAAAGCUCAAUCAUUGUUGUGUAAAGCUUCGGGAAAGCUUUGGGGUCUCUAAUACGUCCAUUUUAUAUCAUGUUUUCCUACUACUAUUUCUAAUGUUUUAGAGCUAUAUUUCACCUUUGAUGCAAUUCCAAUGCCUUUUCUCUCUUAAUUGCCAGUUAUAUCACAAGAGGAAGAUUGCCGACAGCUGGAAUUCUGGACCUGAAAAGCGCUACAACAGAGAUAGCUAUUCUCCUGAGCUCCAAAUGACCUAAAUUUUUCCAAAGAUUUGUUUUGAAAUAUAUAAAAAAUACUAGAAGCAAAAUGCACUGGAGGGGACGCACUAGGCAGCUACAAGCUCGGGGGCGCACCUGGUGAGCUUAUGGGUCCCACAGAAGGCCUAUGUGGCCCAUCGUCUCCUAUAUGAAACCAUUUUCCCUAGAAAAAUAAUCAAGAGAAGACUUUUGGAACGAAGGGCCACCGUCUCGAGGCGGAACCUGGGCAGGAGCACUUUUGCUCUCUGGCAGAGAGAUUCCACCGGGGAAACUUCCCUCUGGGAGGGGGAAAUCAAAGCCAUCGUCAUCAUCAACAAUGUUCCUUUCAUCAUGGGAGGACUCAUCUCCGUCAACAUCUUCACUAGCACCAUCUCACUUCAAACCCUAGUUCAUCUCUUGUAUUCAAUCUUUGUCUCAAACCUCAGAGUGGUACAUGUGGGUUGCUAGUAGUGUUGAUUACAUCUUGUAGUUGAUUUACUUGGUGGAAGAUCAUAUCUUUAGAUUUUUAAUCAUAUAUUAUUCUCCUCUUAUCAUGAACAUGAAUAUGAUGUGUGAGUAGUUUCUUUUAUUCUUGAGGAAACGGGAGAAGUCUUGUUAUAAGUAAUCAUGUGAAGUUGGUUUUCAUUAAAUAUUUUGAUGAUGUGCUAUGUUGUUCUUCCUCUAUCGGUGUCAUGUGAAUGUCGACUACAUGUCACAUUAUCAUGUUUGAGCCUAGGGGAAGGCAUUGUGGGAUUAGUCAGUAGAUGAUGGGUUGCUAGAGUGAUAGAAGCUUAAAUCCUAGUUUAUGCGCUAUUUCGUAAGGGGCUGAUUUGGAUCCAUAUGUUUCAUGCUAUGGUUGGAUUUAUCUUAAUUCUUCUUUCAUAGUUGUGGAUGCUUGCGAGAGGGGAUAAGCAUAUCUAGAUUAAGGAUAUGGAUGUACUCAGAUAGAAAUUUAAUGGUAUUAAUUUUAUAAUUUGUUUGGACAUGUGUUAGUGGUUCUAAAAAGGAUGUGAAUACACACAUAUAGCAAAAAUAUAUACAUUAGUGGUUCCAAAGAAUUACGUUAAGGUACUCAUAUAUGAAUAUAUGGCUAGCAGUCAAUACCGUAUGAAACUAGUAUGCUUAAAGAUUAUCUAUGUCAACUCUUACUAAAGAUUACAAGGUCCAAUUCUAGUCAAACAGCAAUGCUUCUAUGUCAAUUGCUAAUAAAUUUGGAUGUAUGCAAAAAGUAUAAUUGACACCAAUGUUUCUUGUACACGAUUCUACAAAUCUCUCUAGCAAGUGGUCCCAACAUGCCGAUACAAACAUGAAACCUAGACAAUUUUUAGGGUCCUUGGGGUGAUACUUCUAUAUAAGGGGGGCACAUCUCCGCAUAUCUCCCACUAACAUGUCGUUAGCCAAUGGUUUUGGUAAAUCUCUAGCAUUUCGUAGAUUCUUGUUGCUCUUGUUUAUAGUAGUAAGUUUCAUUUUCUUCAUAGGAUUUAGUAUGCCAAGGAGGGAGAGGCGGUCAGGUGUCGCAUACAUCCAUGAUGACAAAGAGCGUGAUGGCUCCUUCUUCAAGAGGCGCAGUGGUUUGUUCAAGAGCGCUGCUAACCUCAAUGCCCUCACCGGUGCUAGGGUUGCUAUCAUCCUAGAGGCGAGCAAUGGUGUUAUGCUCUUUCAGACAAACCAUCCUACAAUGGAUUUCUUGGGAUGGAUGCUUAAUUGGGUUAUGAUGGUACUAAGUAGACAUUCUUCUAUAGGAAAUGGUGAAUGUGUUUAUGCGCAAUAGGAAUCUUCUUCCAGCGAGCAAGAUGUUGAUGCUUGGGUGCAAUCUGAAGGACUUAGUUAGAAACUAGUUAGACUUACAUUUUAGUUCUAUAUCAGAAUGAAAGCUAGUUACAUUACCACCUGGAAAAUGUUACCAUAUGGACAUUUUACUAAGCCCCUUCCAGGCAAUAAUAUACAUGUUUAGUGGUGUAGGUCUUGGAACAUGGAAGUUUUUUUUCUAUGUGCCGCUUCAUAUUUUCAUUAUAAUCAAAUAUUUUAUUUUCUUUUUGAGAUGUUAUGUAUCUUAUGGGUGAAGGAAGAGGAAACCU